UUUUUUUUUUUUUUGUAAUAAUAAUCGGACUUGACACAAAAAGCGACACGACCAGUUUUGCAAGAUAAAAUUUACUAGAAAGCUUACGAACAAACUCAACGGGAUAUACUUGAUGUCGUCGACUAGCUCUGAAUACCAACUGAUGUGCGACGGAUCUAGGCGAACACCAAGUUGAAUUGAAUCGCGGAACUUUGACCCUUCUAGAAUUACAAGUCACGAACUAAGGAUGCUCCUUAACCCAAGACUAGCAAAUUUAGUGAACCAAAAGUAUAGAUAGAAGAACGCCACAAUCAAGGAGACUAUUUGAUUGAUAAGUUCGAUGAACAACUUGAGAUUAAUUCUCAAGUAUUCAAAGGAAAUUCUCUUGAGGCAAGAGAGAGUGAAUAAACUCACGAAUAUUUUAUAAAAAACCGAAUUGUCUUCCUAUGAAUGAAUACCUAGGCUAUAUAUAUAGUCUUACAAGACUCAAAACCCAAGAAUGUCCACUGGACGAUCUUGCCCUUCAUUAAGGGUGGAUUUGUCCAAGUUGUAUUAACUUAAUAUCUAGCAACUAACAAACAACUAAUAAUGGUAACUAAAAACCCUAAUUAACAAGCUAGUAAUCCGCGAACUAGUCUUCACUUGAUUCUUCCACCUGAAGAAAAGUGUAUAGAGUAGUUUCUCCAUUAUGUAAUCCUUCAAUGGUCCUCAAGUCAUCACCAACUCGUUCUUGAAUCAUGCAAACAAGAGCUUGAAGUGAUUCUUGAAGUCUUCUAGCACGCGCUCUUGUAAUCGGUCAGAAUCCGGCCGGAUUUCCAAAAAUUCUCAAGGCAAUCCGGCCGCUAAUCCGUCCAGAAAUACCCUUUCCCGCCAAAUUUUUUUCCUUCGCCAUUUGAAAUCCGAAUCGAUCCGAAAUCCGACCCGAUAUCAAUCCAACAUAUACACAUGGAAAUUCAACAUUUACAAGCCAAAAUAGCAUACAAAAGCUAUCCCAUAAGUUUAUACAUGUACGGUUUACAAAUCUCAACUCAACGAAUGGGUUGGAUUAAAAUGCGUUUAGGGUUUUGCCCAAAAGGAGCUAUUCAAAAUAUAUAUGUACAUAAGCUCAACUCGGCAAUCCCUAUUCAUCGCCUUUCCAAAAGUAUUCAAUUUCCUGUAAGGAAAACAAACGGAAUAGAGUGAGCUUACGCCCAGUGAGAUACUAUCACUCAAGCAACCAUGUUCAUAUAAGCAUAAAGCUUUUCAUUUCAAAUCAUCAAAAGUAAACCAAGAGUACACAUUAAUAGAGUUGAUAAAAGGAUACGGACGGCUCUUAAGAGCCCCUUUCCUCGCUUACAUUCUUGAUCGGACCUCAUUGACCCUCCGUCAAUGUUUAAGAGUAACCAACCGUAGGCUCCACUUUACUUUCAUUCCUUUCACCCAACAUACCCCUACCGGGCCCGAACUCCAAACAGUAGAAAUUUGGUAAUAUUCGAGUAUACCGGAAUCAAGAGUCUCACUACUACAAGAUUCCAUAUAACAGUCCCCGUGGCUCGUCAAUUUUCACGACCAAGCCCUCGCCGGCUCGAUUCAAUCGACUACCAAUGGGGUUGAGCUCAGUAGUAACAGUAAUGGCCGUUGGAUACUCGUCCAAACGACACCAAAUCCAGUAUAUCAGGUAUCAUUUAAAUACUACAGUAAAACAGUAGAUAGUCGUAUAUAGUACCAAAAGGGGUGAGGGCGAUCAAGUACACCCUCAAGGAAUCAAGUUCAAGGAAUCAAGUUCAAAUAUAGCAAAGCCACAUUGUAAACAAACAAGUGAGUAGUACACUCACCAGGCAAGCAAGUGAAAUUUCAUAAACUUUCGCCCAAAGAGCGUCUUCAAUCACCGUCACGCCCUAAAAUAUUCAAACAAGCACAAUAAGACUUGAUUACAAGUCAUAAACCAGUUCUGCAUACAACCAAAAUAGGGCUCCAUAAGAAUGUAUAAGCACUAAAGUAAACCAGGGAAAUCCGGAAAUGGAAAUAAACUUUAAACCCUAAAAAUAGUUUUUGACAUCAUUUUGCGGUUUUGGCACCAUUGGCACUACAAUUAUCGGAUGGAGGUGCAAGAUACACCGUUUUGAAGCUAAGAGAUAGGGAUACAAUGUUGAAGAAGGCCACUCAGUCCAGUUUCUAGUGCAACCAGGUCAAAAAUUCAAUAUACUAAACCAGAACCGCAAAAAUAGGUUAACAAACCGUAUUCUGGUUAACGAACCGUAAUUCAGGUUACCUAAGUCCAAAUCAAGUGAUUCCAAAGCCAUCGGAAAGCUAAGACACCAGGCUACAUUUCUUAAGGAGAUGUCAAGAACCAAAUCAGAAGUAUUCCCAACCAAAUUAAUCAAUUACAGAAGUAAUUAUCAAGUUCGGGUAGAAACAGGAUAGUAGGGGUAUUUCGGUCUUUUCACAAGCUACGCUACUCCGAUUGGCCUAAAAUUUUGUAGGCAUCUCUAAAAUAUCAUUCCCUACAGCUUUUAUGUUUUAACCCAGGGCUAAUUCGGCCUCUAACUAUGAUGAACAGUGCCGGACAGAAUGAGGGGAAAUGAAACCCUAGUUUCCACAAUUUCCUUCCAAAACAGAAAUUUUCUGCAAUUAACCACACUUUCCACCUUCUAGCUUCCUUCAAUAUCAUUUCCAAUCAUCAUCCAUGGCCACAACAUAUGAAUCAUAUGAAAAUGGAAAAAUCCCAAAUAAAUAUAAAACUUCACCAAUUUCAACCAAAAGUCACUAAACAACACCAAAAAUUAUCUCUUUAACUCACAUAAGGUACCAAUUGAACAUUAAUAGGAUCAAGGGAAGGUUCCUUGGUCACAUACCUUGUAAACCCAAGAUAAGACCCAAUUUAGCACCUUGCUGCUCCAAACCACUUCACAACCAAGUUUAAUACCACUAAACUAAGAGGUUUUAUGGAGUAAAUUGAAGUUUUAACGGUUGGAUCAAGAGAUUGAGCAAGAAAAUAGAAGGCAAAAGUUGAGGGAUUUUCUUUCUUUUCUCCUUAUGUUGCUCGGCCAAGAGGAAGACAAAUGAAGCUCAAAUUGGUCAAAAUUCAAGUUUAGUAAAGGUAAAAGAAAUUGAUCAAAGUCCACCCUCCAAUCAAAUCGUGCCACCUAGCACCUUUUAGGUUUAUCCAUAUCCUUUUGUCUCUCCAAUAUUAAUCCAUUUAGGCAACCCCUAAUUAUCUCCUAACACCUAGUAAUUAAAUCCCAGUAUCCCAAACUUAACCUAAUUGACCAAAUUUUACCGAACUUUCCACACUAACGGGUCCCACGUCCGAUAUACAUUCUUAUUUUCUAAAAAUCUAACCGAUACUAGAAAAAUCAUCUAAAAACUAUAUUUACUCAUAAAAAUUAUCGGAAAAAUUUUCCUAAUAAAGAAAAUGCAGAAAACAUGCCAUUAAAGAGAAUAUAAUCUAGAAAAUGAGAAAAUUACGGGUUCUCACAGCAAAGCAAUUUUUUGCACAUUAGAAUAUAAGCAUCUAACAAUCAUCUUUUGGCCAUUUUAAACAAAAUUGGUAAAAAUUCCCUUGCAUAAAGGACAUUGACUUGAAGAAGUUUACAAAUAAUUCCUCAUUGUUAAGACGAUAAAUGUAUUGAGGCCAAAUUUUGAUUUUAGGAGGCUCAUAGACUAAUGCCUCGCAAUGAUUUUCUUGAAACUACCAAAGGGUAGACAAUUCGAUCGAUUUUUGAAUAAACCAUCAAUUUCAUUGAAUCCAUUUUGUCCAUUCAUCCAAUUUUAGGACAAUCUCAUCAUUUUUGAAUAAAUCAUUAACUCCAUUUCAUUCAUUUGGUCAAAUUACCCAUUUUUAGGGCAAUCAAGUCGAUUUUGAAGAGAUCAUCAAUUUCAUUCAAUUCAGUUGACCAGUCUACCUAUUUUUAGGGUAAUUCAGUCGAUUUUGAAUAAAUCAUUAGUUUUCAUUCGAUCCAUUUGACCUACUUAUUCCCCUUUAGAGUUUAAGUCUAAGGUUCACUGAAUAAAUUAAUCGAGACAUUGCAAUCUCUUUUACACAUCAUUUUAUGUGUUGAUCAAAGUAAGCAAUCCAUUCGGACUUUGUCCUCAUUUUUAGGACAAAUAUCUCUUCUCACUCCAAUUGACCAAAUUUUUCAAGUCAUUUUUCACUCAAUUAGCUGAUCGGAUUCAUCAGGUAUUGUAUGGUGCCUACCCUAGAGGAUUGCAUUUUCAUGCUAGGCCUACCCUUGGCAUAAAAGGGCUCCCCCCAUAGGACAUGCAUACCGAUUUUGUAGUCUUGCCUACUAACUCGGGAUAUUUUUCUUUUGCUUUUCCCCUCCCUGCAUUCAUAAAAAUGCUUUAAUAAGGUGAAAAUAAUUUUUUUCUAUAUCUGAUAAAAUUUGAAAAUUACAAGUAUUAUUUGAUUCUUGGGCAGGUCUUGCAAUGAAAACAUGAAGAAUCUAUCUGGAAGCGUUAGGCUAAAGCCUCUGAGAGACUUCAUAAUUGUUUUUCAAAGGGAAAUUCUGUUUAUUUGAUUUGUUAAUGCAUUUUUGUUCCAAAAGAAAGGGAGAUAAAAAAUGUAUAUGUGGGAUUUUUUAGAAGUUUUCUCUUCUCAUUUGUAUUAUAAUUGAACAAGAAAUUUUGUUUUAAACUUUUUCAGCAAUAAAGUUUUGGACAAUUAUUGUUUUGUGUAUAUUCAUAUACAUUUGAUUUUGUAUUUUGCUCAUUAGAGAUUUCAUGAUGAAUUUUAAGAAAUAAAACUAAAUUGAGAUUUCCUCAACCUCCAGCCUGAGAAUUCACAAGUGUAUGCUCUCUAAAAUCCUUACGUACACUUUGGUGAUCCGAACUAUACAAUAAGAGUGCUCAGAAAAGAAAAGGUGAGCGGUCAUUCAAAAAACCCAAUGAGAUAUCUUUUCUCCUUUCACUUAACCCCAAAAAUAAAUUACAAAUUGGGGCAAUUUUUGCUUGAAAAAUGUCCACUGUGUCUAAAUAGAUUCAACUCACAUCUCAGUGAAAGUAAAAAUGUGCAUUAUUCUUGUUUGUUUUGAAAAUUUGGGAUGAUACUCCAAGCAUUCGUUUCUCUAUCCAUACAGCUUUUAUCAUUUGUUCUCCCAUUUGAGCCUUUAAAAGAAUAAUUUCGUUUCAAAUAAGAACCUUAAUUAUCACUACCCUACAUUGAAAAAUUCUUAGAUAUCAAAAAGGGAGUGGAUUUUCAAUGACUAUUUCGUUACUUUGGUUGUCAUGAGGUGUAAGAAUGAUACUUUGAUCGUCGUUUCUACAACUUAAACACCAUUUAUCCCUUGCGUCCUCAUUUGAGCUAAAAUGGGUGGUUCUUUCCAAAAGCACUUAUAAUCGCACCCCACAUUAGGGAAGGAGAUUGGAGAAUUUUGCAGGGAAAGAGAGAAAAGAGAAAAACAAAGAUGCUAAAAUUAAAAAGAAAAGAGAGAAUUGCAAAUUGGGGAAAUUAGAUUCUAUUUGGGCUUCCAUUUUGGAAAGAAAAAAGAAAAAGGAAGAGUGUCCGGCAAAUCACCUGCGCUUCACAGAUAUGGACGAACAGGAGUGUUCCUCAAUCAAUUAAUUUAGAUGCAUGCAAAAAAAAUUUCGCAUUAAUGAAAAUUUCCUUUCAGAGUUAAUGUAAGGAACGGAAUAAAAGUCAGACCCUCUUCUUUUCCAAUCAAAUAUUCUAUCCCUAGUUAUCCCUUUUGAGCCUUUAGAAUAAAAUACUUCGUUUGGCAACCUCUGAGGAUCGCAAACCCCACACUAAGGCAAGUUUGAGUUGAAAAAGAAAGAAAAGUCCCAAGAGAGAAAAAAAGAAAAGAGAACCUCGGUUGAGCAUAAAUUGGGGCAAAUUUUUGGAAAAGUUCAAAAGAAUGGCAGAAGGCCGAAAAAGAGAACAAAAUGAAAGAGAAAAAGCCUCAAUUGAGAAUAAACUGGGGCAAGUUUUGAUUUAACCCUAGAAUAGGGUUGGUGCAAUAAUGCGAUCUCAGGUCAUUCAAACCGCUUUUGAAAUUCGCUUUCAAGCCUUAACCUUUCUAAGCACCCUACCAGACCCCAUUACAAAAACCGAAAGUCCUGACUUCUGUUCUUUGCAUUAUCUCUGUCAAGAAAUUUUCUAAAUGGCAAGUGAUGCUCAUAUACUGAUGCCAAGAAAUUUUUUUAGAUGUACUUCUGAAUUGAUUAGCUGUAAAUUUGACAGUGCUUGUCAUAUGAAAACCCGCAAGGAUGCCUAAAAAAAAAGAAGAAGAAGAAGAAAAGAGAGGAAAAAGCGAGCGAAAUAAAUGCAAAUGAAAUACAAAAGAAUCGAUGGUGAAGUGCCUGUUGAGUGGUGAUAAAGUCAAACAAAGUUCAGGAUCUUGGAGUCCAAAUUGGGGCAAUUUUUUGAAAAUGCGAUCUUCAGUGCAAUGUCCUUAAAAAUCUUAUCUCUUUAACUAUCGUUUUCAAGCCACAUUACAAGCUCAUAAAGUCCAUCGUUGACUUAUACCUCAUGACAACUCGAAGUAAGGAUUAUGCUUCUGAGGAAUCUCUCAAUCAUUUGUGAUCAUAAGACUAUAACAUGUUUCCAUAUGUUUAGUUAUUGUUUCUACCCAUAUGUUACAAGCUUAUAAAACUUAUAUGUUGACCAAGUUUUCUUAAGAAAUAAGGGUGAUAAACUCUUUACUUUCACUAAGAUGUUAUAUUGAAGGGAUUACAUACAAUUUGGGCACAAGAACAAGACAAAUCUUGACUUCUUAUUUUCAUUAGCCACCUCAAAAUCAGAAAUAAGAUCACUUGAUUGGUCCUGAAAGACGAGCUAACAAGAAGUGGUGACCCAUUACCCUAAGCAUCAAUGCUAAAGUGAGGAAGGAAUCACUUGUAAUUUGGUAUUAUUCUGAGAAAUUCAUCAUGAAAUUUUCUGUUAGGAAGCAUGGUUUCUUACUUUGUUCAAAUAAAUGGAGAGUCAUCCAAACAAAUUUUUGCAAUUAAAUGGUCCCAUAUUGGGGCAAAUUUUCAUUUGAGAGAUUUUGCAAAAUGAGCCCACACUGGGGCAGAUUCUUUUAUAAUACAUUUGAAAAUUUCGAAUCAAUCAUGCUGCUCUUUUCAUGAGUAGUAGUUGCAUUAAUUUUUAACAUAAGAAAUUUAAAUGCAUAUUGUACUUUGGUGAUCCCCCCGUGCAGGUAUUCAUGGCUGAACAUAAUGAAGAAGCAUCCAGUGAUGUGAAAGGCCGAUACUGGAAAAAGAGAAACAAGAAGAAAGAAGAAAAAGGCCCGACACUGGGGCAAUUUUUUUUUUUUUGAAAAGAUUCUCUCGAAAAGCUCAAAAAAAUGAAAAACAAAAACAAAAAAAAGAAGCAAAAAAAAUUAAUUAAAAUCAGAAAAUUCAAAAAUCGAAUUCAUUUCUUGUUUUUUGAAAAAUCAAAUUUAGUUUCUGUUUGGCGAGUCUCAGCAUCCGCCGCGCACCCUUCUACCUCAUUUCUUGACAACCACAGUUAGCAUCGAGCCUAUCUCACUAACGUGUGCGUUUUUAUUCUACCACCGUUAGCAUCGAGUUUAUCUCACUAACGUGUGUGUUGUUUUUAGUCUAUCUCCGUUAGCAUUGGGUUCAUCCCACUAACGUGCCUUUCUAUUUCCGAUUAUCAAGGCAGACUCGGGUGUUGAUCCCACUGACCAAUUGACCAAAUGAUGGCAAGAUCGGGUAUUGAUCCCACUGACCAAUUAACCAAUUGAAUGGCAGGCUCGGGUAUGGAUCCCACUGACCAAUGGAAUGACAGUUCGGAUAUUAUCCACUGGCCGAUGCUAUGGCAGGCUCGGGUUGUUAUCCCACUGAUCAAUAGUACGGUUGGUUCAGAUAUUAUCUCGCUGACCAAUGGAUGGCAGGGUCGGGUGUUGAUCCCACUGACCAAUGGAUGGCAGGCUCGGGUGUUGAUCCCACUGACCAAUUGAAGGCGGUUCGGAGAUUAUCUACCGACCAAUGGUACGUUGGGAUCGGGUUUUAUCCCACUGAUCAUUCACAUCAUGUUGGGCUUGAAUUUUGCGCUACCAACAUCACAAUUGGACUUCGAUUUUAUGCCACCAAUGUCGGCAGGCUUGGGCUGUGUCCCACUGACCGUUUUAUCACACCAAAUUUGGAAUGUUGGUAGGCUUGGGUAGUAUCCCACUAACCGUUUUGUCAUGUUGGAUUUCAAAUUUCGACAGGUUCGGGUAUUUAUCCCACUGGCCGAUGUCACGGCAGGUCUGGGUGUUAUCCCGCUAGCCAUUUUCAUGUUCAAGGUAGAAUAAAUACAGGUGAGUAUUUGGUGUCUACGUCUUUGUUUCGAGUUUCUUUGAAACUCAGACAAAGAUGAUGGGCAAACUGUAGACACCAAAAUUUCAUCAUUUUUUAUUCAUACUUUUGUUUAUUUUAUUUAUUUUUAAUUUAUUUUGUUUCAUUUUAUGUUUCUUGAGGAAAAUCAUUUUAGAAAAUCGGGAAAAGAAAAUUAGAGAAAAAGAAAAGAAAAAUCAAAUCAGUGUAAGAAAAAAAAUAUAUAUAUAUAUAUAUAUUCUGCGCCAUUUUCUUCUUCACUCGUGUGGAAGCCAGGAGAAAGCUCAAAAUGGCAGCGGUCAUUUGCCCAUUUUUUAAUCCUUUUGCAUUUUUUUUCUUUUCUUUUUCCAAUACAGGCGACCUCACCCCAGCAAAGAUGAUUCCAGAAGAAAGAAUGAUCUAAGGGCUCCAAAAUCUUUAGUAAAAAUCGAACUAUCAUCCCAACCUUAGGUAGAAGGGUUUGAAAGAUUCUGCUCCAUAUAAAAGGAAGAUACGAGAGAGGGAAUAAGAGGGCGGCGGAGUAUAGAGAAAAGGGAAGGAACCUGGACAGGAAAUCUAGGGAGAGAGCUUAGGAGACUGAGGGAAAAACUAAGAAAAAGGCAGAGGAAAUCAGAAGGGCGGCUAGAGUUUUGGGAGAUAGUUUUUGGACAACUGAGAGUGAAGGUGCUAGGGCUGGAAAAAACAACAGAGAAAAAAAAAAGAUCAAGGAGAGAAGGGAUGACGGCUAGGGAGAGAAGGAGAGUUCGGGUAAGAGAGGAUAAGGAGAGGUGACGGCUGAGAAAGGGCUGAGGGAAUAAGGAGAAAAUGAAAGUGACGGCUGGAAAUCUGGUGAAGGUUGAGGCAGGGUAGAGUAGCGGAGAAAGUGAGGAGCUUUCGGUAAAGGAAAAAGCAAGAAACUGGAAAAAGGGAGCCGAGGGAGAAUCUGGAAAACAAAAGAAAGCAAGAGGGAUUGAGAAAGCUAGGCUUCGGGUAUAGAAAGGGAGAGCUUCCAAGCUGAAGAAAGUAGCUACGGGCUAGGUUGGGAAAAGGGCGCUUCGACUAGAAACCAGAAAAGAAAAGGAGGGAUCUUCGACUAGCGGCAUCAGCGCUGGAAGCCUCUGCAAUUCAGUUCGUGGAUUUGGUUUUCAGAAACGUUCGAUUUCUCGGGUCUCUUUUGUUCACUCAGCAGUCUAAGCGCUCUCAGGUAAUCACGGGCUUUUCUCAAUCUUGGUUUGACACAAUUUUUAUGAGAGACUUGAACCCUUUUAUGCAUGAUUUUCUUCCUUUCUUUGUCGAUGCUUGAGGACGAUGACUGCAAAUCAUCCUUUUCUUUCUUUUGUCGCCGAAGUUGUGACCUAUUUUUCGUUCUUGUUUUUGUUUGUCGCUUGACUGGGGAUGCCAUGAACUUGUUUGCUAUCAAAGUUGUGUUUAGAAUCUUCUUGUUGCAAACUUAGGAACCAAAAAGCUGUUUGCUUUCGUGCUUUCUUUCCCUUGUGAAACUGAAUGAGUGCGGUCCGUGAGUUGCAAGUGUCGUUUUUAGUAUCUUGUUUUGUUCAUAUGAUUUGGGUCUUAGUCUGUUUUCUUGAAGCUUUAGGUUUGAAGUCGGCAGAUGUUCAUACGCCUUUGUACUGCCGAACUUCAGUUGGGAUUGGAUGAUUCCGUUCCAUGGCUUUGCUGCAUUUCAUGUUUAGGAGCCUUGCUGAAUCUUCCCUCUCCCCUUCAUCCCAGGUUUUUGUGUUGGAAUAUGUUAGGAUUUGUAUUGAGUCAUUUGUAGGUUAUUACUUUGAAGUUUAGAAAAGCCAAGAGUCAUCCUCGAUCAUAUUACAGCUUAGGUUGCUGAAGUUUGCUUCUGUUUGUUUAACUCUUUGUAUUUGUUGCUAUUCCUGGGUAGCAUUGGUCCUUCCUCUUAUUUUGGGUGUAGCAUGGUGUAAUGGGUGCAUAAUGGACAUGAUGUCCUUAGCAAUAGAAGAUUCUCUUCCACCAGAAAUUAGCAAGGAAAUUGUGGUUUUGAUCUUCCUCAUUUUUAUCUUUCGUACUCUAUUAUGCUCGAACUAAGUGAAAACUGCAAUGUUUUGAUUUGUGAUUUGGAUUCAUUUACCCAUCUCAUUGGAAUGGCUUGAUUGUAUAUAAGUUCCUUUGCUCAUGACAAAAAUGAAAGGUGUCAAUUUUGUCACUUGAAUAAGAAACCGAAAAAGCUGCAGAAGUUCUUGUUUUCUUCAAAAGUCAACAUGUUUUUUCCAAAUCAUAUCGUUCUAUUUUUGUUGUUCGAAAGCUGAUUAGAUAUUUCCCCUACCUUUGUUUCAAGUCCCCGCACUUUGUGUUUGAAUGAGUUGGAUUUGUGCUUGAGUCAUUUCCGCGUGAACGUUGUUUCGGCUAAAUGAAGGCAAGUUGCAGAAGCAACAUUGACUGGAAAUUGCAGAAAUCUAAGCUUCUUCAUAAGCUUUGCAUGAAAGUUUUUCUAGAAUUUGCAUAGCCUCAUUCUAAGUUUGUUGGCUUGUUGAGUCUUGUGGUUGUUUCUGGGUUAAUGUCGAGUCUUUGAUUGGUUGGCUAAGGUGCUAGUUGCAUUAGGAUUGCAUUUGAGAAGCCCAGCAUGUUGCAGAUGGAAGGAACCAGUAAAAACAAAGAGAGCUUCGUUGCAUGCAUGCAAAAUAGCUUGCAAAAUUGUAUUUUAACCCCCUAAGCUUCCCUUUAUCUUAAUAUGGCCCAAAUAAUUGAAAAAUUAAUCGAAUUGAUCCCUCAAACUUCUUUAAUUCUUUCAAUUGGGUCCUUAUUUGUGUCAAUUUGAUGAAUAUGGGUUGUUUGGUUUAUUUGAAUGCUUUGAAUGAUUCAAUUUUAUGUUUGUUUCCAUUUUAUGUGAUUAUUUGUUAAUUAAAGUGAUGCCUUGACCUUUUCUUUAUUUUUGGAGGGUAAAUAUGUAAUUUCACUUCAUUAGGGCCCCAACUCAAGAGAGGUACACCUUAUCCCUUAUUUUGACUUAUUUGAUCCUAUGUGCACUUAUGUGAAAUUAUGUGUGAAAUUGCAUGCUUCUUUUUCUUUUUGAAUAUUCUCAUUAUAUUUGUUCAUUUAGUUACUUUAUUUGUUUUAAUUUUGUAUAUUUAUUUUAAUUUAAUUUGUAAUUGUUUGGGAGGUUAAUUAAAUGUCACAAUUGUAAUAGUUAGGUUAUUAUAUCAUUUUAUUCCUUCCUUCCCUUUAGAUUGUAGUAGGGUUCCCCAAAUGUAAUAGUUAGGGUUUUAUUUGCUUUAUUUGCCUUGUGUGUUUUUGCAUGCCUAUGUGUUAUGUGUUACUCGCUUUCCUAGGAUCUUGCAUCUAGACAUCAUGCUUAUGUGUUAUGUGAGGACCCGUAAAUUUUUCUAAUUUUAUAUUGUUUAUUUUAUUUCCUCGCUUGCAUUUCUCUUCAUUAUCCCCCACUAUUUUGAUUUUUCCAGAACUUUUAUAAGUGAAAAGAGUUUUAAAAUCAUUUUCCUAGUGUAAGUUAAUUCAUGGGAAAUUCGGUGUGAAUAUUGGACGUGGGACCCGCUAGUAUGGAAAGUUCGGAAAAAUUCGGCCAGUUAGGUUAAGUUUUGGAUACCGAAUUUUCUUUAGCAGGUAUUAAGAGAUAACUAGAGGUUACUAAAUGGAUUAGUGUGAGAGGGACAAAAGGAUAGCCAUGUAUUAAUGGUGGUGACAAGUGUCACUUGUUGAUUAAUUCUUACAUUUUGACCACUAUUCACUACUUUACCAAAUAAAUCAAAAAUUGACCCAAAAAUCACUCAAAAUUCCAAGCUUUUGGCCAGCCAUCUCCAAGGAAAAACAAAGGAAAACUCUUCAAUUUCUUCCUUCUAUUUCUUGCUCAAUCUCACAAAUCAACUGUUAGAAUCUUGAUUUACUCCAUAAAAACCUCUCUCUUAGUGGGAUUAAGGUGAGUGGUGGAGUGGUUUGGAAGAUUAAGGUGCUAAGUUGUCUCCUUUCUUGGGUUAUUGAGGUGAGUAGCUAAGGGACCUCUUUUUCUUCUCAAUAAUGCUUAAUUAGUGACUUAUGUGAGAUGAAGUGAUGAUUUUAGGUGUUGUUUCAUGAUUUUUGGAUGAAAUUGGUGAAGUUUUAUAUUUAUUUAUGAUUUUUCUGUUCUCAUAUGAUUAAUGUUGUUGGACCAUGGAUGAUGGUUGGGAAUGGCUUAGAAUGAAGCCUUAGUGCGCAAAUUGUGGCUAAUUGCGGAAAAUUUCCGCUUUGAACCGAAAUUUCCAGAUUAGGGUUCCAUUUUUUUCCCCUUCUGCCUGGCACUGUUGGACCAAGUUAGAGGCUGAACUAGCCUUGGGUUAAAACAUGAAAGUUGUAGAGAAUGAUGUUUUAUAACAGCCUACAAAAUUUCAGCUCAAUCGGAGCAAUGUAACCUAUGAAAAGACCACAAUACCCCUGCUGCCCUGUUUCUAUCCGAACAUGCUAAUCAGCUUCUGUAAUGGGUUGUUUUGACCAGGAAUACUACUGAUUUGGUAGUCGAUGUCUUCUUAAGACUUAUAUUCUUGUAUCUUAGAUUUCAAAUGGCUUUGGAAUCACUUGAAUUGGAGUCGUAUAUGCCGAGAUAUGACUAAAUGAAUCAAGACUGCCACAGUAAACUUCGAAUUGGAAAAUUUGGGGUUGUUUUGGUAAAUUUGACCUAGAUACAUUGCAAACUGGACUGAGUGGCCUUCUUCAACAUUGUAGCCCUUUCUCUUAGCUUCGAAACGGUGUAAAUUACACCUCAAUCUGACAAGGAGAGCUUCAGUUGUGUUAAUUCCGCUGGGCAACAGCAAAUCUGCCUUUUGUUUCCAACCCAAACUUCGUUUCCACAUAUGUCCUAGUUUGAUUUUGCACUUAUACGUUCCAUAUGAUUUUACUCUAGUGAUAUGUGGAUUUGGUUUAUGACUCGUAUUCGAGCCUUAUGGUGGCUCUAAUUAAAGGUGUUUGAUAGCUUGUGAUUUGUGACAGCCCCACCUUCCCCUACGGCUCCCCUAAGGCAUACCAAAGGAGUUAGCGGACUGCCUGCCCAGCUCUCGCCAGGACUACUAAAACGGUCAAACCAUAACUCCAGUCGUUCGGGAAACUAUUAGCGCGCUUAGCCAACCCAACAAUCGUAAAAUGGAAAACAAAAGUCAAAACGUAGGGUGAAUAGUGACUGCCACGUCACCAUCCGCCAAGACCCAAUCGAAUACAGGUAAUCCAACAAUCACUGAAAAGAAUAUAUACAAGCCAAAUAGAAUACAUUGGACAAGAGUACACUCACUAUUACAAACCACAUUCGUAUGUUUACAAGCCAAGCCAAAAGGAAGUAUUAAAUCCAAGUACAAUUAAGGUUCCAACUAUUGAGGAGCUAUACAAAAUCUCUUGACUAGCUCUACUCAACUCAUUCUUCAAAAUCAAAAGUCCAAAAGAUAAUUCCCUGUAAGGAAAACAAAAUUAACGGAGUGAGUUUUCGCCCAAUGAGGUACUAUCACGUACAUAUACCAAGAGCACAUAAACACAAGAAAUAUUCAAUCCAAAUGCGCAUGUCAAGUAAGCAAUAGUAACCACACCCAAGUGUAAGGAAUAAAAGGAUACGGGUGGCUCUCAGGAGCCCUUUUCCGCUUUGCCAUACUUUAUCUCAUUCCAUUGACCCUCCGUCAAUGUAUAUCAGGUAAUCAUGACCGUAGACUCCUCUUUACUCCAAUUAUCCGUCCACCUCACUUUCCCCUUACCGGGCCCGAACACCAAACAGUACAGAAUUGGUAUUACUCGAGUAUACCGGAAUCAAGGGUCUCAUACCCAAAGAUUCCCAAAUACAGUCCCCAUGGCUUGUCAAAUGUCCCCGACCAAGUCCUUACUGGCUCAAGUCCAUUGACUUCCAAUGAGGUAGAGCUCAGAGUGAACAGUAAAGGUUCAGAGAUACAGUAAACAAUGGUAUCCAAUCGACACCAAAUCAAGUACAUUCAAGAGUAUUCAAGUGAUAUAAUAAACAGUCAAGAGGCCAGAGAGUACGAGAGUGGUAAAGUACACCCUCUGUAACGACCCCACCUCCCCCUAAGGCGUACCAGAGGGUUCGGGAAAACCGGUCAUGGUAUUGGCCAAACAAAAGUAUACAAGUUCAAAUAGAAACCUAGCCCUCGAGCGAAAAUUUGGGCAGCACGCCCUUUGUGUUUACCUAAUUUUCCAGCCAUUUUGGCUUCAUUAUUUUUCCUCAACCACAACCCAACAUCACACAUAAGCAAUUCAAGUCAGGAGCCAUUCCAUAGGCUCACAAUAUCAUAAGAAUAAGAAUUACAACAAUCACAAGUGCAGAAAUUCAACUUAGCACAAGACAGAUUUGACGUACGAAUGCGGAAAUAACAUAUCCGAAGCUACGCUUAUCGGAUUGAGACGAAACCUAUGCCGGUUCGAAGCUAAGACACAGAGCUACAACAUUCAGGAAGGUCACUUAGUCCAGUUCCUAAUGUAACUUAGUCAAAUUCUCAAAUUACUAAACCGGAAACCAAUUCGUCGGCUGUUUAAAUGCAGAACACUGUAAUGGACAUAUCUCAGAGUACACAAGUCUGAAUCAGGUGUUCUUAGAGGCAUUUGAAAGGUAAUUCAGAAUACUACAACUUUCAUGUUUUGGCAAAAAGCUAAAUCAGAAUGGAUCCUAGUCGAAAAACGUGAUAAACUGGACUUAACUGAUCACAUGGACUGCUUGGGAAAUACUUAAAACAGUAAGGGUAUUUUGGACUUUUCACGUCCUACGUUGCUCCGAUUGAGCUGAAAUUUGUAGGCACCUAUAAAAUGCCAUUCUCUACAACUUUUCUUCUUUGACCUAAGGCCAAUUCGGCCUCUAACAUAGGGAUUCAAACAAUCCUCUUCUUACUUGAAAGUCAUCUUUACACGUUUUACUCCUAAUUAGUCGGGUUUCUUUGUUUCCCUUAAAUGUUUUGCUCGAUAAACUGUAAUAUGUUCUCUUGUCAACCUUAGGUUUCAUUGGUGACUAAGGGUAAUAUCCGGAAGGAUAUUUUGCACGUUAUUUUGCAUAUAUAGGUGAGUGUUCCUUAUUUGACUUUAUGGCUUGUUGUUAUCAUUUGCUAAUGUGUUAAUUGCUUUUAAUGAUUUCCAAAACGAGCUUUCUAGGUGAGUGUGUACUUUAUCGCACUCGACCUAAAUAACUGUGCAAUUUUCAAGGAUUUAAUGAUUGAAAUGUUACUUGAGCAUGAAUGUAAGCCUUUUGGGCUGAACUGGCCAUUGCCCUUGUUACCGGUCGUCUCGAGCCAGAAGCGGAUUCGGUCGGGCGAUUAGGGACUUGGGUGAACGUUUGGUAUACUCGAGUAUUACCCUGUAGGUUGGUGGAGACUGGCCAACGGCUAGGACGGGGGUGAAUGAAUGAAUGAACGAACGAACGAGGGUUUAUUGAUAAACGAAAAAUGCAUUUUCAAAUGAUUGGAGAAAUAAGGGGAAAUGUCAGGAGAACGAAUGAACGAAUGAAUAAAUUGCUCCUUGUGAGCCGUAUCCUUUUAAUGAAUGUUACUAUUGCUUUCCAUUGUAAAUGUUUCUUGAAUUAUUGAUACUCCAUGUUUAAUGUAUUGAAUUGAUUGUUUGAUUGUUUGAUUAUCUGUUUGGAAUCUCACUGAGCUUUUAGCUCACCCCUUUAGUUUUGUUUUCCUUAACAAGGGACGGCGAGCAGGAUGAGAGCAUAGAUUAGCCUAGUCUAGGUCUUUUGUUUCUUUUGUAAUGGUUCUCGCCCUAAUGCUUGGCACGGGCUAGUUGUAUGGUGAAGUGAGAACUUUUGUACAUUUGAUGGUUGUACUUCCUUUUGAGAUAGCAAUGUAUAUAAGUUCCACUUUAAGUUUGGAUUGCUGCCCUAUUUAUUCUUGUGAUUUGUUUUGGAUUUGAUUAAAGAACGACUGAGUCCCGGCGAGAGUUGGGCAGGCGGCCCGCCGAACCCUCUGGUACGCCUUAGGGGGAGGUGGGGUCGUUACACCCUCGCCUCACCUAGUCCAACCAAUAAUCACAACUAGGCCAAAUCACAGAAUUCAAGUACAAGAAAGCCACGGAAUAACAAACAUGUGAGUAGUACACUCACCAAGUCAAACAAAGAAAUUUCACAAGUUUUCGCCCGACGUGAGCCUCGGAUCACCGGCACGCCCUAUAAUAAUAAAAAAAGUACAAUUAAGACCCAAACACAAGUCGAAUACCUUUUAAUAGGAACUAUCAAGGCAAGACCCAAAUAUAGCUUGGAAAUGAAAAUACAUAACAUUUAGGGCUAAAAGUAGAAACAAACCCUAUGACCGUUCAUUUCUAUCAAAUCUCAACCCAACUCACAAGAACCUAAUAUCCUAGACACUUGGACAGCAUUUCCCCUAAAAUUUCAGUUUUUCCAUCCUACAAAACAACCAUUAAAAGCCAUCCAAUACAACCACAAGCACACAAACAAUUCAUAAGCCAUUCAAUAUACGUAAUUAGGGUCACAAUACCCCUCAAUUAUAACCAAUUAGAAGCUCAACAAUCAACCAUAGAAAAGCCCCAAUUUGAAACCCUAAAUCUGAAAUUUUCCGCACAAGCGGAAAUUUUCCGCAAUUAACUACAAUUAACGCACAAGAGAGCUAUAAAACACCAUUUAGAACCACCAAAUCAAACCCAAUCAUAUCCAUCAUAUGAAAACAGAAAAAAUUCCAAGAAAAAUCAGAAAAUUAGGAAACUUCACUCCAAUCCACCAAAUCUUCCGUACAAUCACGUAUAUAGAUACUAUAAGGCACCACUUGGCCAAAAUUAGAAACAAAAGAUGAGUUCCAAGCAAGAUACCUUAGAUCUUCAAGAAAGGUUGAAGCUUAGAGAGUUUUCUUCCAAAACAACACCACCAAGGUCUUCAAACACUCCUAGCAAGAUGAUUUUAUGGACUAAUUCAAGAAGUAAUCGGUUGAUUUUCAAGAUUGAAGCAAGAUUAGAAGAUGGAAGGUUGAGGAAUUUUUCUCUUUGCUUGCAAGAGAGGUUCGGCUAUGGAGGAGAGGAAAAUGAAGAUAAUUUGGUCCAAUUUUGACUUUUAAGUGAAGACAAAGAAAGUUAGGCAAAGUUAGGUAUGGUUUGGCCAACCAAAAUUGGACACUUGGCACCUUAUUUUCACUUAGAGUUAUCCUCUUGUCCUUCCAUGGUUAAUCCAUCUAGGUAACCUCUAAUCAUCUCCUAACACCUAGUAAUAAAAUCCCUUUAUGCAAAAUUUAACCGAAUCGGCCGAAUUUCUCUCACUAAAUGCACUAGUGGGUCCCACGUCCAAUAUACAUUCCUAAUUUCUCACGAACUACCUUAUACUAGUAAAAUGAUUUUAAAACUAUAUUUACUGAUAAAAUGUUGAUAAAAGUAAUAUAAUAAAGAAAAUAAAAGAAAACGGUGCGCAGAAAUAAAAUAAUAUAUAAUAAUAAUAAUAAAAAAUUUCCCCGUUUUGGGUUCUCACAUCCUCUCCCCCUUAAGCAAUUUCGAAGAAAUUUCGCCCUCGAAAUUGCUCACCUGGGUUACUAAACAGCUCAGGGUAUUUCUUUUGCAUCUCUUCCUCCAUCUCCCAGAUUGCCUCUUCUAUUCCAUGAUUCCUCCAUAAAACCUUCACUAAUGGAAUUUGUUUAUUCCUCAGUUCCUUAAUCCUUCGAUCGAGUACUUGUACAGGUCUCUCUUCGUAAGUGAGUGCCUUAUCUAACUCAAUCUCCUCUGGUCGCACAAUGUGGGUUGGAUCAGGGUAGUACUUUUUCAGCAUCGAGACAUGGAAGACCUCAUGAAUGCGAGACAAACUUGGCGGCAACUCGAGUCGGUACGCUACUUUCUCAACUCGUUGGAGAAUUUUGUAUGGCCCCACAAACCGUGGUUGAAGUUUCUUUCCUCUACCCGCAGUGACGCUUCGUAGUGGCGUGAUUUUAAGGAAGACACGGUCUCCAGCUUCGAACUCCAAAUCUUUCCUUCGGUUAUCUGCGUAGCUCUUUUGUCGGCUUUGAGCUGUUUGGAGUCUUUGACGAAUCAAUUUAACAUUUUCUUGCGCAUCCUCCAUCCAGGGAAUGGUUGUUGGAUCUAGAACUUUCUUUUCCCCUACUUCAUCCCAGUAAAUAGGUGAACGACACUUCCGUCCGUAGAGAGCUUCAUAUGGUGCCAUUUGAAUGGACGAAUGAAAACUAUUAUUGUAGGCGAACUCUACCAAAGUUAUGUGUUGGCCCCAAUUACCCCCAAAAUGCAGAAUACAAGUUUGUAACAUGUCCUCGAGGGUUUGAAUCGUUCGCUCCUACUGGCCAUCCGUCUGGGGGUGAUAAGUGGUACUAAGGUUAAGUUUGGUCCCUAAGUGCUCCUGAAAUUUUUGCCAAAACCUCGAUACAAAACAAGGAUCUCGGUCUGAAACUAUACUCACUGGAACCCCAUGUAACCUCACAAUUUCAUUUAGGUACAAUCGAGCCAGCUUAUCCAUGGAAUCCUUCACAUUCACAGGUAAGAAAUGAGCCGAUUUGGUCAACCGAUCAACGAUCACCCAAACGGCAUCAUGUCCUUUUUGAGUUCUUGGCAGUCCAGAAACAAAAUCCAUCGUGAUAUUUUCCCACUUCCAUUCGGGUAUCUCAAGAGGUUGUAACAGUCCGGAGGGUUUUUGGUGUUCAGCCUUGACUUGCUGGCAAAUCAAACAGGUUUGGAUAUAUUGGGCAAUCUCUCUUUUCAUCUUAUCCCACCAGUACAACCGUCGCAGGUCUUGGUACAUCUUAUUACUACCAGGAUGGAUCGUGUAUUUCGAUCGAUGGGCUUCCUCUAAAAUUUCCCUUUUCAGGUUUUCAUUAUUGGCCACCACUACUCGGUUUCUAUACCUCAAAAUCCCUUCAGGACCCAAAUUGAAAUCAGGUAAUGCUUCCUUUUCUACUUUUUCCUUCCACUUUUGUACCAUCGGGUCCUUCUCCUGAGCUUCUUUAAUUCGGUCAAGAAUAGCAGAUGUUACCCGAAUAUUUCCAAAAGUUAUUUUCUCGCAUCCCAAGCUAGGGUUCCACUCACUAGCUGCUCCUAACAUCUCCCACUCCUUGACCAUCAACCCUGCUACUUGAACCUUCCGACUUAGGGCAUCCGCUACUACGUUAGCCUUACCGGGAUGGUAGUUGAUCGUGCAGUCAUAAUCUUCUAAAAGUUCCAUCCACCGGCGUUGCCUCAUAUUCAACUCUUUUUGGGAGAAAAGGUACUUAAGACUCUUAUGGUCUGAAUAAACCUCAAAAGUAACCCCGUAAAGAUAGUGUCUCCACUUUUUCAGAGCAAAGACCACAGCAGCCAGUUCCAAGUCAUGGGUAGGGUAGUUUUGUUCAUGGGUUUUUAGUUUCCUAGAGGCAAAGGAAAUCACGUUCUUGUUCUGCAUCAAUACGCACCCCAAGCCUUCCUUCGAAGCAUCGGUAUAAACAGCGAAACUGUCCUUCCCAUUCGGCAAGGCCAGAACAGGAGCCAUGGUUAACCUUCGCUUCAACUCCUGAAAACUGGUUUCACACCUAGUAUCCCACACGAAGCGGCCAUUCUUCUUCGUCAGGUCGGUUAAAGGGCCAGCCAGUUUGGAAAAGUCUUUAAUAAAGCGUCUAUAGUACCCAGCCAACCCUAAGAAACUACGGAUCUCAGUGGGAUUUUCUGGUCUCUUCCAUUCAGCCACUGCCUCUACUUUCGCGGGGUCGACAGUGAUACCUUCUUUUGAAAUCACAUGUCCCAAGAAAAAGAUUUUCUCCAGCCAAAAUUCACACUUACUAAAUUUGGCGUAUAGUUGAUGAUCUCUUAGGGUUUGCAACACUAACUUCAAAUGCUGCUCAUGUUCCUCACGGGUUUUAGAAUAAACCAAAAUGUCGUCAAUAAACACAGCAACAAAUCGGUCCAGGUAGGGUUUGAAAACCCGAUGCAUCAAAUCCAUAAAGGCAGCAGGGGCAUUGGUCAACCCAAAGGGCAUGACCGCAAACUCAAAAUGCCCAUAUCUAGAAUUGAAAGCAGUCUUGGAUACAUCUUCUUUCUUAAUUAGCAACUGAUAAUAACCCUGUCGGAAAUCUAACUUUGAAAAGACCACUGUGCCUUGCAGCUGGUCAAACAGUUCAUCGAUAUGGGGAAGUGGGUAUUUGUUCUUAAUGGUCAAGUUGUUUAGUCCCCGAUAGUCGAUACACAGUCUUAAAGUUCCAUCCUUCUUCUUAACAAAUAGUACCGGAGCCCCCCAAGGAGAUCCACUCUCACAAAUAAACCCACGCUCCAACAGGUCUUGCAACUGCAACUUCAGCUCCUUGAGUUCAGCAGGUGCCAUUCGAUAGGGGGUCUUAGAGAUAGGUGACGCUCCUGGCAAUAGGUCAAUCUUAAACUCUAUCUCUCUUUCCGGAGGUAAAGUUACUAAUUCAUCAGGAAACACAUCCGGAUAUUCACUUACAAUAGGCACAUCUUCCACCCUCAACUUAUCAGUGGGAGUGUUUAUCAGAAAAGCUAGAAACCCUUGGGCCCCUCUAUACAAAAAUUUCCUAGCCCUAAUACCUGAGAUCAAUGCAGAUGAGGCUAAACUACCUCUUACAUCUAGCCUUACGGUUGCUUCUCCCGGUAUACGAAAUUCCACUAUUUUCCUCUUACAAUCAAGUUGUGCAUCGUACCUUGCUAGCCAGUCCAUACCCAAUAUAACGUCGUACCUCUUAAUAGCUAAACUUAUAAGAUUUCCCAAAAGCUUCCUCUCUCCUACCCAAAUUUCGCAAUUCGCAUACAUCGAACCAGUAAUCAAACAUUGGUUCCCCGUAUGAGUACUAACCUCUAAGUCAUAAGGCAAGCUAACAGGGUUAUAUCAAUGCCGCACAUAAAAUUGGGGUUAACAAAGGAAUGGGUAGCACCAGGGUCUAUCAAAAUCCUAGCUAGACGAUGGAAAACAGGGAUCGUAGCUUCUACAUCCCCAGAGGGAUCAGGGACUUGUUGUUGCUCAAGGGAGUAAACCCGAGCUGGCACCUUUGGCUUUGUCCCGUCUACCUUGGACUGUCCCAAGUUGGCCUUUGACGAUUGGGUGGUUGCUCUCGCCUCCCGAGGUAACACUGGGCAGUUGGCUAUUUGAUGCUCUGCACUCCCGCAGCGCAAGCAUCUUCUCUCCUUCCUCCAACAGUUGUCCUCAGUGUGGUUUGGUUUUCCACAAAAUCCACAGGGUCCGCGUGCAACUGAGGCCGAACUUCCUUGUGAGGUGCUUUUCUGUGGGCCCCGUCCAUUGUGACCACCCCUUGGCGGAGUCCCUCGUGUCAUCCCCGGUUGCCUUCCUCCACCGGCUCCUCUUCCAAACUUGGGAGGGGUCCCUUUAUCCCCUUGGGUCGAACUACUCGCAGAGAACCCCCGUUUUUUCACCUGAAAAUUCCUUACUUGAAGCCUUGCAUUUUCAACUCGCAAAGCUUUCUCCACGGCGUCACUAAAAGUAUGGAUCUGGGCUACCGCCAGAUCCUUUUGAAUUUCCACAUUGAGCCCCUGAGUAAAACGCCGAACUCUCCUUUGCUCCGUUAGAAUGAGUUCAGGGGCGAACUUAGAUAAACGAGUAAACUGGCUUUCGUACUCAGCCACUGAUUGAGUCCCCUGACGGAGCCUAAUAAACUCGUCUUCCUUCUUUUCCUGGACCAAAGGGGGAAAGUAUUUCGCAUUAAAGUCCCUCAUAAAGUUUACCCAUGUUCUUGGUGUUUGUUCCCGGUCCCACUUCAUUCGUAUCACGUUCCACCAAGAACGCGCGACCCCUUCCAAUUGAAAAACAGCGAAAGUAACCUGCCUUUCCUCUGAAUAGUGUAGGGCGGCAAAAAUAUCUAUCAUUUUCUCUAACCACUUUUCAGCCACGUCCGGAUCUGGCCCGCCCAGAAAUUUUGGUGGAGAGAACUUCUAAAAUCUCUCUAGGGCCCGAUCUUCACUCUCUAUUACAUGGCCAGGGUUCCCAGGUUGCUGGAUAGGAGGUUGGCCUUGCUGUUGCACUACGUGGGCUAACAGGUCAGUCAUUUGCUGCAUAGCAGCAGCUAUCUGGGCACUAGGGUCAAUCCUAGGUUCAGGAUUUGGUUCGGUCGUGGGAGAUAACACUCCACUCGACAAAACUAGAGACCUGUGGUUCGUUAUCUAAUCGCCCAAACCCUUGCCGGCUCGACUCAAUUAACUAGCCAGCGGGGUUUGGGUUCCCAAGUAAUCAGUAUAGUCGAUGAGAUACAUCUCCAAUCGAUUUAAUCAAGAUAAAAGUACAAUGAUGGAAUGAGAGGCACCUCCCACUCGGAUUGAGUGUGGUACAUGCUGCCACUCAACACUUACAAGUCAAGCACAAGUAUAAACUCAAGUACAGGUCAAUCAAGUUCAAGCAAGUACAAGAUCAUUCAAGAAGGGAAGGAUGAGUGCGAAUAAGGGCACACUCGCCUAACCCUAACCAAGUCACAAAUAAUGCCUAGCAUGUCACAUUUCCAUGCAUUUCAAGUAUUUCAAGUUAAUGUAUAGGUAACAUGCAAAUCAAGUUACUUGUACAUGCAAGAAUGAGAUAUCAAGUGUUUAGUUGAUUUAGGUCAACUGCGAUAAAGUACACACUCGCCUAUGAAUAUCAAAGCAAGUGUUUAGUAAAUUUCUAGCAAUAAUGAGCAAGGAACAUGCAGUUGGAACACUCACCAAUUAAUUACAACCCUUCACUUUUUCCCUGGUUCGUCCUCUUGAACUCUAUCGAGUCCUAUGGUCAUAUACUAGAUUUAAAGACUAGCAAUACAAAGCCAAAAUACAUGAAAAAAUUAAGGUUUCUAAGACUUCAUUUCCUUUCACUUAAACCUCAAUUCCACUCAUAAACCAUAUCCAAAAUGAUUUACCAAUUGCAAACUUAAAGUGGGAAAUGAAAGUAAGAACGGUUCUAAAAGAACAGAAUUUUCCAGUUUUGUGCAACACUAUUUGAAAAAUCAUAUCGCAAGCUUCUUAAGUCCAAAAUUGAUAAACUUCAUACUGUCAGAAAAUAGAUUCAAAGGGUUACAAUUUUUCAGAAGACAGAUUUGUAAGAUUCUAUCCAUAAGUUAGUCAAAUUUCAGCCUCAAGUUGCAGCUUCAUCCAGUAAAAGACAGAACAGGUGUGGAGAAUCAGUCAACUUUGAAAAAUCACAAAUAUUUAUAGGAAUUGAGAAAAAUUCUAAAAUUUUCAUGGUUGAUAUUACUCUGAAUCUAGUUUCGAAUACCAAAACUGAACUAAAUUCUAACUUCUUUUUUUACAUCAAGAUAUAACAGAUUUUCCAAAACUGCCCAAGGUUCCCUGCGAAUAAAUUUUCAGCAGCACUUCCUUUGUGUUUACUAAUUUUUCCAGCCAUUUCAAGGCUUCAUUCUCACCUCAAAUCAAGCAUAUACAUACCAAGCCAACAACUCACUAAAUCAAGCAUAUAUAUAUAGCAUAUAACCUUCACUUACUUAAGCUAGAAAAUUAAACCCUAAGCUGAAAUUUCAUUAAUUAAUACCAAAACUAGAGUAUCAUCCAAUAUAUUUCAAAAUUCAAGGCAUCUACUCCAUAGUUGGCUAAAAUAAGAAAGAAAAAGGAAGUUUUAGACUUAUACCUUCCAAAACACUUAAAGAAAGUGAAACACAAAAGCUUUCCUCUCCGAACAACUCCACAACAACCUUCCUUAGCUCCUUGGUGCUAGUUUAAUCGGUUUAGAUUUUGAGAUUUCAACUCAAACAAGGCGAAAUCAAGAUGAAGUUGGAAGUUCUCCUCUCUUGUUUUUCCCUUCCAAUUUUUGGCCACCAUGAAGAAAAAAUGAGAGAAAUGUAGCCAAAAGGAAAGAUAAGAAGGAAAGAGUUGUCUUGGUCAACCAUUCCUUUGAUUGCCAACACUUGACAAUCAAGAUUUCUCUCAUUUUAUUUUUCUUUUCUUCCUUUUCUUUGGUCAAGAAUUUUGCCUGGAUUAAGGGGUCAUUUAGGUGAAAUAAAAAAAAGGAGAUUAGGGUAAGAAAGUAUUGGUUAAGCAGUGUACUCAAUUGGUAACAAACGGUGCAUGUCGGUUCAAGCCUAUUUUCCUUAACUCUCUUGUACUUGUGUUUUAACUUAUGAUUCACUAACUUAUUAUUAGCACUUCUAAUGACACACUUUCUCUUAUCUAAUACAUACUCUAAUCCACCAAAUUUAGUACAUACACCUCACCAAGUGAUCACAUUACCAAAAUGCACCAAAAACACACUAAAAACCCUAGUAUGCACCAUUCCUUUAGAAACCUCAUACCUUGAGUUAUAAAUGUCAAAAAUUCAUACAACUUGGCCUAUUAAAAACUAGAUUUAAAACACUAAUAAUCUUUAGAAAGACACCUGAAAGAGAUUAAGUUCAUAAGUUUGUCCAAAUUGAAACAUAAGCUAUUGUAACAUUCCUAUUUUUACUUGGAAGGUAUAAUUUUCAGUCAAUUUUGUCAAUUUUCUGAAAUUUAUAGAGAUUGAAUCAAACUCUGAAUUUUAUACCGUAGGAACCGCUAUGAAUAUAGUUUCAAACGCAACAAAAGGAACUCAAUUCCGACUUUUCUAUAUGAAGUUAUAGCCAAUUUUCCAAAGCUGAGCAAAGCCUCCUACUAAAAUUUCUAGAUUUUCUAACAACUUAAGAGUAUGAAACUUUUCUUAACAAAAUUCACUCCCUUAGCUCAAAUUCAACCAUUAAAACAACCAAGAAUCUAAGGCAAAUAAAUUCAAAUAAGAGCUAUAAAGACAAGUUGUGAGGACUCAUGUUUUUAUUCUUAAAAUAGUCAUUUUUAUAAUUAUUUACCCUAGAGUUAGUUAAUUAUAUUAUCGUUGCAUGAAUUGCUUUUAAAUUUCGCUUUAUCGCACGCGAGUUGAAAGUUCGCGUAAAUCGUACCGGAACGAAUAAGUGGGGAUUUGAUAAAAUUAUAUUAGACUAGUAAGAGUGAGUAAUUUCAGUGUUAAAGAAAUUACAUUGGGGGAUUAGUGCACUAGUGCAAUAAACAAGAGAGAAAAGUGGUAGUACGAAACACUAUUUCAACAACUAUUCAAAGUUGACUUUGGCAAGUCUUUUAGUUCCUUUUUCCCUCCAAUCUUCCAAGACAAGCUUCACACAAACAAACACUCAUCUCUCUCUCCUCUUGGUCGGCCAAAAACAAGAAAGAAAAGGGAAGGAAGAAAGCUUCACAUUUCUUGCUCCAAUAUUGCUCCAAAUCUUCAUCCAACUUCCACACCUUUUGGAAAUCAAUUCUAGCUUGAAGAAAGACAACAUUUUGUGGAGUUUCUUGGGGAGUUUUUGGUGGAAAAAAAUCUGAUUUCAUCUAGGGUUUAAAGAGGUAACCUUCAUCUCCUUUAAUAUAUUUCCAAUUUCUUCAAGAUUGAAGGUUAGUUUUCAUGGGUUUACAGCCCUAAGCAAGAAAAUAGGCUAGAGGACUUGAGGAAACCAAUUACCUUGCUUUAAUCUCUACGCUAGUGGUCUUUAGGGGACUUGUAGGUAGCUGACCUGAGGCUAUGUUUCUUGGUUAAUGUUGCUUGUGUGAUGAAUGAGAGGAUCACGGUUAGAAAGUGGAGAGAAAGUUGGAAAAUGGUUGAGGUUGAGCUGGCUGAAAAUUCUGUCCAUGUUGUUCAGUUUUUAUUUCGAAAUUUUGAUAUUUGGUUGACUGUGAAAUUGAUGGAUAUAUGUUGUAUAUUGUGUGUACAAAGUGUGUUUCAAAAAUCAUUUCAUUUGGUUGCACAAACCUUGAGUUUUGGCAAGAUUUAAAUCUGGAAAUCGUAUAGCAGGGGUUCUCGGACAGUGCUUUUCAUUCGAACGUAACUCUCUGUAGAAAAGUCAAAAUUGAGUGCCAUUUGUGGCAUUCAAAACUAGACAUUCAUAGCUUUCCAACGGUAUAAAAUCUCCUGCUGGUUCAUUUUGAGUGAAUCGUAGUGAGUCGGCAAAUUUGGCUAUUCUGUUUGACUGUUUAUAAGAAUUAAACUGGAAGCUGCAUUUUGUGGCUCAAUUUUGUCCAACUUGUGAAAAUAUUUUCAAAAUAAUGUUUUCUGAUAAAUUGUAUCAUUUUGAACCUAGUUUCCAAUGCCAUCAACCAUUCUCAAUUUGGAGUUGUAUAGAGUCAGAUAUGGUUUUUUUUCGAAAAUGUGACAAAGCUGGAAACGGAAAGUUUUUCCUUCAUUGUUGGCCGAAUGGUCAAAUCUGUUUUGGGAUGUUAUACAUCAAAAAUUUUUCUGUCAAUUGCUUAUUAAAUGUUUUUGGAACCUUGGUUACAAAAAUGGAGUGAAUUGGGAUUGAUUUCAUUGAACAAAACCUUUGGAAAGAAAGAAAGAGUGAGUUGGCAGAUUUGCUUUGAAAGAUUUCACGAACUUUGGUCGUUUUGUUAACUGCCUUACCACGCGAAUUUUUAUUUAAAUUUUGAUAGAGAUAUAGUCCAUAUAUGGAGGUUUAAGUGUACCAAAUUUUGGUAUAGUUUCAAUACCAUUUCGAUAUCCAAAUGAUGCCCCAAAGAUUGCUCUUCAAAUCUGGAAAUUCACUGUUCAAGUAGUGAAAAUCAACCGACUUUAAACUGUUAUAUCUUGUUGCUCAAAACUCCGAAUUUAAUUCCGUUUGUUGAGUUUGAAACCUUGUUUGGAACUCUUAUUGUGUUAUGAAUUUCAAAAUCUAAUUCACUUUUUAUGAAUUUUACCAAAUUUCAAAAUAUUGCCGAAAACCAAGACUGGUUCUGUCUUGCUUGUUUAAAUCAGCAACUUUGAGCUGAAAAUGAAUGCUUUCUGUUUGGAACCAUGAAAAAGUGUCUUCUAAAAACUUCUAGUACUUAAAACCUAGUUUCCGACGGUAUAAAGUUUUCCAUUUUUGGACAUGCCAAACUCAAGAUCUGAUUUUCCAAAGAUCGUCGCGCAAAACAGAAAUUUUUCUAUUACUUAAGAAAUGAGUUUUUGAGAACUUGUCACUCUCUCUUGAUAUCGAUAGACCGUUUUAAACUCGAUUUCAUAGAAGUGGCAAGUCUCUCUUGGGAUUUUAAAUCCUCACUUUUGAACCUCGAUUUUUGAGAGAUUUAAAGUUCUAUUUUAAGACAUUGUCUUAGUUCUAAACAAGUGUACACUCUUCCUUGGUUGAUGCAUGCAUGGUUGUAAGUGAUAGUUAAUCGUUAUUUCUUCAGGCGCUCAAGAGGAUCUUCAAGAGAAUCUCGGAGCGGACGCCUAAAAGCUUAUUUGCUCACUUACUCACUUUUGACUUGGUGAGUGUCAAGUGCAUGAAUUGUUGUUGAGUAUGUGAAUUGCUUCUUGUGAAUUAUGUGAAUUAGAAUUAUCGAGACGAGUGUGUACUUAUCGUAUUCAUUCUCUUUAAAUGAAAUUAUGAUCGAAUUUCGCUAUGUGAAUUGAUAAUCGACUUGUGUGAAGUGAUGCUGUUGUGAAUUGUAUUUGUGAUUGUCGAUUGGAACAUUGUCUCAUCGACUUAUAUUUAUAUUCAGGGGACGCCCAAACUCAUAGACUAACCUUGUGACUCGAGCCGGCAUGGGUUUGGUCGAGAAAAUUGGUGAACCAUGAGAAAUUCGUAAAGCUUGAUCUAUUUGAUAGAUCUCGCUUGGCAUACUCGAGUAGUAUCGCCUUUCUAAAUGAUAAGCGGGCCCAGAACAGGGGGUGUAAUAGUGAAUGGGAUUCGUGAAGUAAGUGGUGUUAUACGGAUUAAAUAUACCUACCCGAUUGACGGAGAUUCAUCACAUUGAGGUAUAUGAUCGAGACUCGGCAAAGCAAGUGAAAUCUAGCUCCUGAGAGCUCCCGUAUUCUCAUUGAGUGGGUUUUAUUUUAAAUUGUGAAUUACUUGAAUGUUAUAGGUUUAUUUCUCAUAUAAGUGCUAUUUCUAAUUGAACUAUGUGUUUGCAUGCUUUUCUUGGGCUCACUGAGCAUAAGCUCACCCCAUUAGUUUUGUUUUCCUUAACAGGAGCCGAAAUGGAAAAAUUAUGGAGAAGCCGACUUGAUGGCCUUUUGAUUAGAAUUUUGAAUGUAAUUAGUUAGACGACUUUUGGAGGUUGUAUAUUUUGGGAAAUGUUGAUGUACUUUUGAUAACUUGUGAUGUAAGAUUUGAAUAUUUAUUAAGGAAGCAACCUUUAUUUACAUUUUCGACUUUUAGUAUUGAUUGAUUAUCCAUAAGUUGAAUUUGUCUCGUAAGUGAGUCCUGACGAGAGUUAGGCAGGCGUCCCGCCGAUACCCUUGGGUUCGUUCUAAGGAGAAGUGGGGGUGUCACACAAAUAAAUUUCGAGGCCUCACAAUUACUUUCCAAAGGAUACGGUGCUCAUUAGGAGCCACUUAACACUGUACAUUUCACAAUAUAAUAACUCAUUCAAUAUGAAAGGAUACAAACUCCUUCUGAGAGUCAUUUCAAUAUCAUUGCACAAUUCACCACAAUUACCUCCUUAUAUCCUCCAAAACAAUAAACAAUUCCCUAUAUUCAUUAAUCAGUUCAAUAAUCUCCAAACUUCAGGGUAAUACUCGAGUAUACUAAAACACUUACCCAAAAUUACCGUCCUAUUUAACCAAACCCUUUGCUAACUUGAAUAGUUCGUUGAACAGAGGGUUUUGGGGCCCAGUUCAGCCAGUGUGGUAAAAUACACAUACAGCUUACAUUCAUGCACACUUACAGUAACAUUUGGUCAAUUAUCAACCUUCAAACUCAACUAAGGCGAAUGCAAUAAAGUACACCUCCGACUAAGAAGGCGAGGGACAAUUGAGAUACACUUUACAAUGCAUCACUAGCAAUAUUCUAUAAUAAGCACAUUUAUCACAUAACUUUACUUAAGUAAAAUAUAAGCAGUUUAGACACACAAAUCCGGAGACACUCUUCUAAAGUAUUUUGAGUUCACACCUCAGUAUUUGGACCCUCAGCCGAAUCUCCCUCGACUCUUGAGAUAUUUAUAAACUUAUUAUUUUUCCAAAUGGUGAAGUUAGGGCUCACAUGAUUAUUUUGACUAAAGUGUAUAUAUAUAUAAUCCAAUAUGUUUAAAUGUAUAUAUAUUUAGAAGGAGUUUUAAGGUGAUUAUAUGUCACUAAAAGUUGGGAUUUAGGUUCCAAGGAUCAUUUAGAAUCGACGUGUAAAUUAAGUAAGUUCUCUAGGAUUUGAUAGUUUAGGGAUCUUAUGAAGUUCUUUGAUUUUACCAUAGAUUUUUGGAUGAGUUUAAUAGGUAAAACUUUGAUAAGGUAACUUAGAGAAGUUUUGAUCAGUUUUGAUUCGUUUCUACCAUAGAAAUUCAAAGUUAAAAGCCAGAAUCUAAGUUAGGAUUGUUCAAAACAGAUUUAGCAAGACAUACUUCAUGUUUUUUGUCCAAAGUUCACUAUUUCCAUUGUGCAAAUCUCCUAAAAUCCAACUUGCAUUUUACCAUUAUAUCUAAUAGGUUGUUCUUAAUUCAAAGUUUGGUCAAAAUUUCCAGAGAAAGUUUAGAAAUUAGUUUGAAAUCCUCGAUCAUUCCAAUCGGCUCAAAAGGGUCUAACUAAUUCAUACAUCUCUAGUUUUAGAUACCUAAAAUCUUAACAUUUAAUUUUCUUGAAUUGGUUCUAUUUAGAUGUGACGGAUCAAUUUAACUCCCAUUCCCCUUUUCUAAUCAUUCAAGUUCAAAAGUAGCUAAUUUUAAUGUACUUUCUUGUCCCAUAAUUCCAUCUUUUAUUGGACAAAAACCCCAUGCAUAACUAGAUUAUUACAUUAAGGUGUGUGUGCAAUUCAUAUGAAGCCAAAUAACUAGGUAAUAGUUACAGAUCCACUCAAAUAAGCUACAGAAACCUUCUCCUUCAAUUUUAACCAUUUUAAAUUUUAUCCAGCCACAAAUCACACAUCAACAAACUCAAAACACAGAAUAAGUGUGAAUCAAGCAUUUUCCAGCCAAUUUUAUACCAAAAUAUUCAUUCAAACUCCAAGAAAUUUCCAUUGGCUAAGCUGGAAAAUGGUAUAAUAGUCAUGCAGAUUCUAAUCAAAAUUCCAGCCAUAAACCAUCAAAUUUACACCAUAAAAUUCACAUGCAUGUCAAUAUUGAUGUAUUAUAAGGUGUGAACAAUAACAACAAUGAAGUUUUACAGCCAAAAUUCAUGGAAAACUGGAAAUUUUCACCAUUUCUUUCUCUCGGUCCAAGCUAGAAAAAUUCUAGCAAUUGGCAGUUUGAAAAAAUGAACUUUUCCCCCAACAAAAUUCUUUAUUUUUCACUCUAACUCAACAUGCAUACGAUGAUUAUUGUGUUAUGAAGUAUAUUGAACCACAAUGUGAAAUUUGCAGCCAAGAUUUGGAGUGGAAAACUAGAAAAUUUUCUCUUUCUCUCUCUCGGCCAUCCCAAACAGGUUCUAGCAGCUUUCUUUGACAAUUUCAGCCAAGAUUACCAAUGUUUUUACUAGUUUCACAGAUAAAUAUCCUAUAGAACUAGAGAUGAACAUAUUUCAUGCAUUCCUAGCAUAACUCUCCAAAGAGAAUUUUCAAAUAACAAGCUGCAAAUCCAGCUCUCACUCCCUGGGCUAUAACACAGUUUUCCAACAAAUGAGCGGUUAUUAAACAGGUUUUCUUCAGCAAGACUCACCAUUCUUAUCUAAAAAUCAACAUGCAACCUACAUAAUUAAGAGUAUUGGAAGAUUGAGGGGUUUUUUACAAGUUUUACCUCGCUUUCUACAAAAAUCUAAGCUGGAAAAAUACGGAAAGCCUACUUCCUCUCCUGGCUCCUCAAGAAAAUUGCACCAAGCUCCUCUUCUUUCUUUCCCCAAUUCGGCUGGUAUAGACACCAAGGGAUUGCACCUUCCCCCUCUCACUCAACUCUCUUUUGUGCGUGGGAAUGGGAUGAAGAUAUCCCUCUCUCUACCUCACACUCUCUUGGCUUCAGCUGGAAGCAAAGAAGAACCAGAAAUACUCUCACUCUCUCUCGUGUGGAUUUUGGCAUGUAGAAGAAAAUGGUUUGGUUUUCCCCUUCUCUUUCUUUUGUUCCUCUUGGUCAAGACAAAUGGAAUGGAGUUGGUUGCAUGGUCAUUUUUGAAGCAUUCCAUCGCCAUUUAGUCAUUUAACAAAGUUUUUGACAUUUGGCAAAAAGAACUAGACAUUUGUCAUUUGUGUAUUCUUGUUCCCAAACAUUAUUCCAUUGUGGCCAAAAUAAUUUUAGUAGUCACACUAUUGCACCAUUAAUUUGUUCUAAAUGGUAUAAUUUCUAUAAAAUUAUUCAUACAAUAAUCUAAAGUAUCCCUAUGCACUUAAAUUAUAAGGAGACAAUUAAACACAUAAAUCAAUCAAUGAUAUAGUAUAUGCAUUAUUUUUGAUAAAAUGCUAAAUAUACGAAUAAAUUUUUGGGUUCUCACAUCUAAACACAUGAAACAAGGUAAUCAUGUGAUUAUUCUUUAUUCAAGUAAGAUAUUUUACAUACCUUUUCCACUCUAGUAUCUUAUGAAUUCAUUUGAUUUGUUGAAUGUGACAAUUAACGAAAGCUAAACUUUGAAAGUUUUAGAGAUUCUUUAAACUUUGGGUUUAAUCUUUGUAAUUGAACUAAUUAGUUGCUUAUUUAUGGUCUCUCGGAUGUUAAGAACACAUCUUUGGUGUGUCUAGCAAUAGAUUUUCUGUCGCACUUCUAGUGUCAUUCUUCGUCCUACUUUUUAUUCUAUUGUUAUUUUUCCUUCAUAAAUAUAGUAUUUUAAUUCUUUUUUUAUUUUUUUAAAACCCAAUAACUAUUAUCAUAUUAAUAACCAUUUGUUGCAUUUGAAACUACACUCAUAGAAUGGUGGCUCAAGAUGUAUAUAGGGCGGUUUUGAGCUUUUUCUGUGGUGCAGAGCUCUCACGUUUUAUUAUGGCGACGUCCAUUGUGCUUCUUCCUAAGGUCAUGAACCCGAAGGAUUUUACUCAAUUCCAUCCUAUCAGUGUCUACAAUUUUUUGAAUAAAGUUAUAUCUCGCAUUUUGGUGGGGCAGCUGUCAAGUAUUCUGCCCCGAAUCAUUUCUCCCCAGCAGAGUGGCUUUGUUAAAUAGAGGUAUAUCUCGGAUAAUUAUUUGUUGACGCAGGAGUUGAUGUCGGAUAUGGGGAGGAAGUGCAGGAGGGGGACUCUGGCUCUCAAAUUAGACAUGGCUAAGGCGUAUGAUAGGGUCUCAUGGCGGUUCCUUAGCGCAGUCCUGCGCCGGUUUGGAUUUGGUAAAAGAUUCAUUGACAUGGUGUGGAGACUGAUUUCCAAUGUUUGGUUUUCUGUGCUUGUAAAUGGUGCGCCCUUUGGCUUCUUCAAAUCAUCCAGAGGGUUGUGUCAAGGGGACCCAUUAUCGCCGGCACUGUUUAUUAUUGGAUCGGAGGUGCUCUCCCGAGGCUUGAAUUCUCUUGUUUCUCAGGCGGGGUUUGUGGGCUACAAGGUACCGCAGCAUUGCCCUUCUGUUACUCAUUUGGACUUUGUAGACGAUGUUAUAAUUUUUACCAAUGGGGGUGCGGCUUCAUUAAAGCGAGUCAUGCAGAUCUUGGCAUGGUACUAGAAUGACUCUGGCCAAUUGGUUAACGUGCAGAAGAAUGGAUACUUAGUACAUCCUCGGACCACAUUGGCUCGUAAGGGUGUAAUUGAGAGGGUUACUAAGUUUCAAAAACAAGACUUUCCGGUUCGGUAUUUGGGUGCGCCGUUGUUUAUUGGUAGAGCCAAGGAGGCUUAUUUCUCGGACUUGUGCCAGAAGGUUCUUGAUAAGGUGCUUUCUUGGAAAUCGCGGCUUUUGUCGUUUAAGAGGAAAAUUAUUUUGAUUAGACAUGUUCUGUCCAGCAUCUCGAUCCACUUGUUGGGGAUGAGCGUCAUGCCAAAAGGUAUCUUCCGGGUGAUUGAAAGAGUGUGUGCGGACUUCCUUUGGGGAACGGGGGACGACAAAAAGAAAUUCCAUUGGAUUCGGUGGAGGGACCUGUGUUACCCCACUGAGGAAGGAGGGGCGGGGUUUCGAUCGCUAAUUGACACGUAUAAGGUUUUCUCUUGUAAGUUAUGGUGGAAUUUUCGAUGUGGUCUCUCCUUGUGGGCAAGAUUCAUUCAUUCUAAGUAUUGUAAGGGGCUCCACCCCUGCCAGAUCUCUGUAUCUCCCUUAUGUUUAGCAAGUUGGAGAAGUCUCCUCGAUAUUAGGGGGUUGGCGGAGUUGUGUAUUAGGUGGCAUCUGUAUGAUGGUCAUUGCAACUUCUGGUAUGAUAAUUGGACUGGGCACGGGGCCCUCUAUCUUAGAGUGGAGGUACGGGGGGAUGUCUCGUUUCCCAACGUUCUGACGAAUGGGGAAUGGGUCACAUGGAGGCUAGCAGAAAUUCUGCCUUUUGACAUGGUCCAGCAGGUAUUGGAGGUGGCUAGCCCGUGUGGGGGUUUCCCAGAUCGCAUGAUUUAGAUAGCGAUGUGUUUGGGUCAGUUCUCGUUAUCGUCCGCAUAUAACGAGGUUCGUGAAAUAAAGCCGCCUUCACGGCAGGUGUGGCAUGCAAGUGUUCCCUUAAAGAUGUCCUUCUUUAUGCUUCGUUUAUUCCUUAAUCGCCUGCCGUUGGAUGACGUAUUGGCGACACGUGGGUUUCAGCUUCCAUCUAAGUGCUCUUGUUGUCUGGUAUCGAAUAUUGGGUCCCUUCGGCACUUGUUCUUAGAGGAGGAUCUAGUGGCUGCGGUAUGGUGGUUUUUUGGACCAUUGUGUGGGUUGGCUCUGAAUGUCGGACAUGUCCGAGUGUGGAUGGGUAGUUGGUGGCUAAAGCCGGUGAAGUCGGAGUAGCUUAAGUUUGUGUUCCGGCUCUUACCUAGUCUCAGCUGUUGGCAUAUUUGGAAGGCUUGGAAUAAAGCAGUCUUCCAUGGGACAGUAUCGAAUCCUAUUGGUGUAUGUCAAGCCAUCUUUCGGGAUUUAAAGGAUGCGUAUUGGCUACGAUUCAGGGAGUUGCAGCGGGUGUGGGAGUGGCCUACGUUCUUGGAGUCGGUGGAAUGCCGGCCAGAUGCUAUCUUCAUACAACAAAUUCAGUGGCUUGCUCCGGGGCCUGGCGCGGUCAAGCUCAAUAUUGAUGGGUGCUCGAAAGAUAACCCAACGGUGAGUGGUGGUGGGGGGAUCCUUUGGAAUUCUGCAGAGUGUAUGGUAUUUGCAUUCUCCGGAUACCUUGGGAGGUGUACCAGCUUGCAAGCAGAGGCCAAAGAUCUGCUAAUUGGGCUGCAGUUAUGUGUGCAGCGGGGUUUCAUGGGUAAUUUGGUGGUUGAGAUGUGACAGCCCCACUUUCCCCUUAGGCGAACCAGAGGGUUCAGCGGACCGCCUGCCCAACUCUCGCCGGGACUCAGUCAUUCACUCACACAAAUCAGAAAUAGAACCACAAGAAAGAGCAAAACUAGGAUCCAAAACUUACAGCAAAACUUAUAUACAUUGCUAUCUCAGAAAGAAGUAUAACCGCUGAGAAUACAAAAGUUCUCAAGUCACCAUACAACCAGUCCAUGCCAAGCACUAGGGCGAGAACCAAAACAAAACCAAAACUAGACCCAGCCAUUCGAUACAGAGCUCUCGCCCCUGCUCGCCUUCCCCUGCUAAGGAAAACAAAACUAAAGGGGUGAGCUAAAAGUUCAGUGAGGUUCCGAGCACAUAGGCAACAAGGAGUUCAAAGCAUUCAUUACAUGUUACCAAUAAUUCAAAUACAAAAGAAAGCGAUAAACACAUUCAUUAAAAGGAUACGUGUUCACAAGGAGCCAUUCGUUCAUUCAUUCUCCUUUCGUUCCCUUAUACCUUCAAUCAUUUGAAAAUGCAUUUGUAUAUAAAUAAAACCCUCAUUCAUUCAUUCGUUCAUUCAUUCAUUCACCAGGCUCCACCAACCUCCACCAACCUACAAGGUAAUACUCGAGUAUACCAAAACGUUCACCCAGGUCCCUAAUCGCCCGAUCGAGUCCGCUUCUGGCUCGAGACGAUCGGUAACAAGGGGCAGUGGCCAGUUCAGUCCAAAGGCUUACAUUCAUGCACAAAUAACAUUUCAAUCAUUCAAUCAUUGAAAAUUUCACAAUUAUUUAGGCCGAGUGCGAUAAAGUACACAUUUGCCUAGAAAACUCGUUUUAACAAUCAUUGAAAGCAUUUAACAUGUUAUCAAUCAUUCAUACCAGCCAUAAAAUCUUGAAAUAUAACAAACAAGGAACACUCACCUAUACACGCAAAAUAACGUCCACUUCUCAAUCACCAAUGAAACCUAAAAGUAAACAAAGAACACAUUACAAUCCAUCUAUCACGAUUUGGAUGAAAUCAAGGAUUACCCGACUACUCGCGAGUAAACGUAUAAAAUGACUUUUAAAGUGUCAAUAGAGCAUAUGGAUCCGUGGACGGAAAUUACUAGGGUUCAUAAACCAACCCAAAGAGGUAUUAGGUUUUAGAAUGGUAAAAUGAUCAUUUUAUUUGCCAAGCGGAAAUAUACAGGUUCAAAUAGAAAUUUAGCACUCGGCCACCUUUUGAAAGAGCCGGUAACAUUUUCAGUAAAUACGUCCAAUUCGUCACAAAAUACAUUCGGAAAAUCACUUUAACUUGCUCACAUUACAAGAAGAUAAACGGACGGCAUGUCCCUUGUGUUUACCUAUUUUCCAGCCAUUAAUGGCUUCAUUAUUUUCCUCAAAACAGUCCCAACAUCUCAUAUAGAAUAAUCUCAUGUCCAAAAGCCGUUCACUAGUCUUAAUGUCAUAUAAAUACAAAAAUAAAUACAAAAAUCAAGCUAAAAACAUUUCCGGAUAAAAACAGUUUUUGACACCAUUUUGCGGUUUUGGCACCAUUGGCGCUACGAUUAUCGGAUGAAGGUACAAGAUACACUGCUUCGAAGCUAACAGAUAGGGCUACAAUGUUGAAGAAGGGCACUCAGUCCAGUUUGUAGUGCAACUAGGUCAAAAUUGACAUAUAUGAAACCAGAAACUCACAAACAGGUUGGCUAACCGCACAAUUGUUAAUCAGCAAUAACUCUGGUUACCGAAGUCCGAUUGAAGUAUAUCCUAUGGUGUUUCGAAGCUAAAACACAACCCUACAUUUAUUAUGAAGACCUCCAAGGCCAAAUCAUGCAUUUUCAUGAUCACAAAUGGAAAACUACACCAAAACAGAAUUCUGGGCGCGAAACAGGUUUCAUGGACAGCCAAGUGUAUUUCGGUCAUUUCACAUGCUACAGUGGUUGGAUUAAGCUGAAAUUUUUCAUGCAGCUAGUUUAUACUAUUGGCUACAACUUUCAUGUUUUGGCCAAAAGCUAAUUCAGUAGGAAUCAUGGUGAAAAGUCACGGUCCAAUUGGGUGAAAAGACAACCCUGUUCGCUGAACUCCUACCUAGACCAAUCUGGGUAUUUCCGUCUUAUCUCAGGCUACCGAGCUUAGAUUGGGCUGAAUCUUCACAGACAACUAGAAAACAUCAUUCCCUACAACUUUCAUGUUUUGUGCUAAGGUCAAUUCCGCCUCUAACCUGGUCGAACAGAAACAGGCAGAGAGGAAAAAAAAAAUGGACCCUAAUCUGGAAAUUCAUGCAUUCAUGUGCCAAUCUUCCACAAAACAACAUCUAAAACAACUAAAAACCACUAAUAAGCAAUUAAUUGAAGUAAAUAGGAAGUUUUUAAGCAAGGCACCUUGACACCUCAAGAAAGAUGAUAACUUAGGGUUUUUCUUUCACAAAUCCCUCCACUAGAAGCUUUAAUCCUCCUUAAUAAGUAACUUUGAUGGAGUAAUCUUCACUUUUAAUGGUUGGAAAUCAAGAUUGGAGCAAGGGAUUGAAGUACAAGAUGAAGGAUUUCCUCUCUUUUCUCUCCUCAAAAUUUCGGCCAACAAGGGGAAAAAUGAAGAAACAUUUGGUCAAAAUGGAUGUUUAGUAAAGUUAAGAAAAGUUAGUCAAAGUCCCCAUCCAAUGGUUUCAUGACACUUGUCCCUCUCAUUAAUGUCAUGCCUAACUUUUUUUGUCUUUCUCACACCUAUCCACUUGAUACCUCUAAAUAUCUCAUAACACCCGGUAAACUAAACCCAGUAUCCAAAACUUAACCGAACUGGCCGAAUUUUUCCGAAUUUUCCACACUAGCGGGUCCCACGUCCGAUAUACGCUCUUAAUUUCUCAAAAACUAACCGAUACUAGAAAAAUCAUUUAAAACUAUAUUUACUCAUAAAAUUGAUCUAGAAAAAUUUUCUAGUAAAGAAAAUGUAGAAAACGUGCAAUUAAGAAAAUUACGGGUCCUCACACUCUCUCCCCCUUCAAGAAAUUUCGUCCUCGAAAUUUUUACCUUCAUUUGCCUCAGACGAGCCCGGAACUGUUUGUGUAACAGCCCCACUUUCCCCUAAGGCGAACCAAAGGGGUUAGCGGACUGCCUGCCCAACUCUCGCCAGGACUACGGAUCAGAUUAGAGCUAUCUGCUUCAUUCCGGAACUUACAAACGCGCGUAAACAAAUCAAAAUAGUAGAAUAACCCAAAAUAAAAUAAAAUGAAAUCCGGAGCCGGCCAUGAAUAGUAACCGACCCGUCAGAACCCAACCGCAAUAGCUAACAAACAUUCACAUCUGAACUUUAGCGUGUACAAAUCAAAAUGACAUACAAAAGCUUUCAAAAGUUAAUACAUAUACACGGUUUGCCAAAUCAAAAGAGAAAACGCCCCAAAAGUACACUUAGGGUUUUAAUACAUGAGCUAUACAAAAGAUAUGUUCAACUAGCUCAAUUUGGCAGCCAUUUGUCAAAUCCAGACCAAAAGGGUUUAUUUUCCUGUAAGGAAAACAAAGGGAACAGAAAGGGGUGAGUUUGCGCUCAAUGAGGUACCAAACAGAUAGCAUUAAAAUCAUGGCAUUUCACAUUUAACAAAUCAGAUACACAUGUCAGAUGUAAAGCAAAGGAACCAAUGAUUCAAAUCAGAAGGAUACGGGUGGCUCUCAGGAGCCAAAUUUCCAGCGCAGUACUUGAUCCAAACCGGUUGACUCUCCGUCAACGUAUAUCGAACCAACGCGUCCGUAGACCCCUCUUAACACCGAAUUCCGUCCACCAAACACCCCUUUACCGGGCCCGCUCACCUCAAACGAACAAAAUGGUAAUACUCGAGUAUAUCCGGAAUCAAGGGUCUCAAUACCCAAAAUCCCCGAACAGACUACCGUGGUUCGUUAUCUAAUCGUCCAGGCCCUUGCCGGCCCGACUCGAAUAACUUAGCCACAGGACUGAGCUCAUAGGUCAUAGAAAUCCGAACAGAUGCAGACACAGAUAACAGAUUCAAAUUUUGCAUAGUAAAUUGGCAUAUGAACAGACAAGAGAACGACUGUGAUAAAGUACACCCUCGUCUCAAACAAAUAAACAGAUUGCAGAGCAGAAAUCAAGUUAAACAGCAAUGGAGGGGAGUGGUACACUCACCGGCUCAACUUCAAAAGUUUUCACUUCAGAUUGGCCUUAAUCGCCAAGAAACCCUAAAAUAAUCAAAGUAAACUAAUUGAAGGUUUCAUAUCCAAAAUCGAGUAAACGAAAUGUACAAGGGAUGCUCGACUACACGUCGUACGCCUUGCCAAUUAAAUACUAAUGCAAGGGUGGAAAACAUGAUUUCUUGGAAACAAAAAGGUAACAUGAAGACUUAGGCGCAAACAACCCAAAAGCCUUUCAUUUCCACCAAAAGGCAAUUCCAACUUAAAGGAACCAAACGGCCUAGAAAAUCGGGCAGCACCUCCCCUAAAAUUCUUACUUUUCCAGCCAUUAAGGCUUCAUUAUUUCCUCAAAUCAGUCCCAACAUUUCACACAAAAGUCAUCUCAUUUCCCAAAAGCCGUUCACUAGGAUCAACGGUAGUACAAGUACAAAAGUUAGCUAGGAAAUGAUCGGAAUGAGAGUGAGCCCUAAAACAUGCAAACAAGUACAUGGAGACUCGAUAACGAGUCAUAAAGCUAUGCCAACCACAACCCCAAUAAGGUUUCAUAUGCAUAUAUAAGCAUUAUAGCAAACCAGAAAAUCAGGAAAUGUAGCCAUCUUGGCCAUAACAACAAAAACAGUUUUGCCUUCAUUAUGCGGUAAUGGCACAAAUUGCACUACGCUUAUCGGAUGAGGGUGUAAGACCCACCAUCACAAAGCUAAAUGACAGGGCUACAACAAUGUAGAAGGCCACUCAGUCCAAAUCCUAGAACAACUAGGUCAAAUAUGCAGAAUACCAAACCAGAACCGUAAUUGCAGGUUUACAAAUCACACUAUGCUGUAAUUAGUCCAACUCAGUCUAUACAGGUCCAAAUGCAUUGAUUCCAAAGGCAUAUGGUAGCUAAGACAUCCAGAUACAUUUCAUCAGAAGACACCAACAUCCAAAUCCAAAGCAAUUCCAGUCAAAACAGACGAGUACAAGAGCCGUUCGCACAUUCUGAUCAACCCAGAACAGCAACAGUAAAAUCGACAUAUCUCACUCUACACUACUCCAAAUGACCUGAAAUUUUACAGAAACCUCAAACACAUCAAUACCUACAACUUUCAUGUUUUAAGCAAAGGCCAAUUCGGCAUAUAACCAUAUGAUCCAAAACCGGACAGAAAAGGGGGUUAUGAAACCCUAACUUUUCACAUUUCAAUCCAAACCCAAAAUUGGUUGCAAUUAUCAAUCAUUUACAUCCACUAGAGUCAUAACCCCUCAUUAUCAACCAUCAUAAAUAACCACAACACCAUGAUCACAUUAAACCAGAAAAUUCCUCAAAAAAAUAAAAACUUCACCAAUUCAUCUCAAACCAAGAAAUAAAUCACAAAUUUCAACACUUUAGCCACCACUAGGCACAAAUUAAACAUCAUUAAGUAUAGGAGGAUAGUCAAUCACCACUUACCAAGUAAACAAGAGAUAGGAAGUUGUAGAACACCUUAGCUUCUCCAAAAACCUUCACCAAAACACUCACUAGCACCAAAUGGAGGGAUUUUAUGGAGUAGAAACUAGUUUAGGCAAUUGUUUUUGGAAGAUUGAGCCAAAUGGAAGCUAAAAUGGUGAAGAAUUUCUUUCUUCUUUGCUCAAGGGAGAGCCGGCCAUGGAGGAGUAAGAAAUGAGUGAAUUUUGGUUAAUUUUUAAGAUAUUUAACCAAAUGGGUCAAAAGUCAAAAAACAUGAAUAGUAAGUCAUAAGUCAUAACCAAUGGAAGAGUGACACUUGUCACUUCAUUAAAUGCAAUCUUAUCUUUUCUUUUUCCUCUCACAUCAAUCACUUCACAUCCUCUACUUAUCUCUUAACAUCCGAUAAAUUUCCACCAGUAUCCGGAAUUUAACCUAAUUGGCCGAAUUUUUCCGAACUUUUCACACUAGUGGGUCCCACGUCCAUUAUAUACUCUUAAUUUUUCAAAAACUCUCCAAUACGAGAAAAAUCAUCUAAAAACUAUAAUUACUCAUAAGAUUCACCAGGAAAAUUUUCCUAAGCAAGAAAAUGCAGAAAACAUGCCAUUAAAGGAAAUAAACCCUAGGAAAAUUAUUAAGGGAUUUACGGGUUCUCACAGUUUGGGUGCCUAACGCAUAAGCUUUUGUUGGCCCACUAGUUCGGUUCCCUCUUUCAUUUGCUUGUUUUGUUUUAGCUCCCUCCAGUUGCGGAAUACUACCUCCGCGUGACUGUCUCCUCGGACAGUUGCUAACUUGGUGCUCACCACUCCCACAAAUCAAGCACUUCCGCCCUUUCCGCCAACAAUCGUUCUCGGUAUGAUUGGCCUUUCCGCAAUAGCCACAAGUCAGGUGAGAAGCCAUCUUUUGGCUUUCUUGAGAAAUUUUCUCAGGUCCGAUUUGGCUCCCUUUAGUAGACCUUUCAUUUCCCGCCCCUACCGUCCAGGGCGGGUAGGACAAAAAGUUUGCUUUAUGCAUUUUGGAAGGGACUAUCGAUUCACUUCGUUCCUCACUCAUACUACCAGCUGCACCUCUUUUCCGUGUUUGGGAGGCUUUUACUUGUGCCUUUGCAUUCUCGAUUCGUUGAGCCUUCUCAAGCGCCUCCGUAAAUGUAUUCACUUGCGCUGCUGCCAACGGCUCUUGGAUGUCCAAAUUUAGUCCCUGUAUAAACCGUCUCACUCUUCUCGGUUCUGUGGCUACUAAUUCUGAAGCAAACUUGGAUAGUUUGGUGAAUUUCGUUUCGUAUUCAGCCACACUUAAGGUCCCCUGGCGUAGUCCAAUAAAUUCGUCCUCCCUCCUUUCUUGAACUAAGGGUGGGAGAUAUUUCUCGUUAAAUUCUCUUACAAAAUUCGCCCAUGUCUAGACAGUCUGUUCUCUUUCCCACUUUGUUCUGAUUACGUUCCACCAUGCCCAGGCCGGUCCCUCAAAUUGAAACACUGCGAAGUUCACCUGCCUCUGUUCAGUGUAAUUCAAAGCUGUGAAUAUAUUCACCAUGGCCUCUAGCCAUUGUUCAGCGAUGUCCGGAUCAGGCCCUCCAGCGAAUUUUGGAGGUGCAAAUUUCUGAAACCGCUCCAGAGCCUUAUCCUCACCCGUCUCAGGGUUCCUGGGUUGAUUUACGGGUAUUUGACCUUGUUGAUCUACUAAUCUUGCAAAGAUAUCCGUCAUUUGUUGCAUUGCCGUCGCCAUUUGGUCUCCGAUUGCAACUCUCGGUCCUUGUUCUUGUUCGGCGGACGUUUCCCUUUCUGCUCUAGGUUCUGGGGUUCGUUUAGUUCCACGGCCUCGACCACGUCCCUGACUACGUCUCCCGUCCAUAUUUUUUCCUUCCCUCUCUUUUUUUUUCCAAAAGUGGUUUAAUGAAUAAAUGCAAUAAAGUGACUCAAAAGUAACCAAAAUUGAGGCACCAAGUACACAAGUAAACAUAUAUGCACAUAGCACUCCACAUAUCAAGAAAAUAGAUGAUCAAUUACACAAGUACGUAUCAAGUCAGGCAAAUAUUCAUAUGCUCAAAUACACCAAUGAACGUCAUGUAAUAAGAAUAUAUAAGCGAAUCAAACGAGGAGAUGAUGUGUCGUCCCAGUCUUAGCUAAGGUAACCCCGUCCGGUCCCUCAUGUCACUUACUAUUCACACCAGAUAUCCCUUAACCUCUUGUACUCAUUCCAAUCGAACAAAGCCUGUUCAUGUUCCCACAAUACAAGUCUCAAAUAUUUAGCACUAUCUCAACUCUGGAGUACUCGGGUACGAGAAUCCGAAAUAAGAUAAUUCACCUCUCGAGCUGGCCAGUCCCAAGAGUAAACCAUCUAAAAUCGGAAUUCCUCCCAGACGUACCUAUCUACGGUCCUCAGAUUCCACAAGAAAAUUUAAGGCCUAUAACGUUCACAACUCAUAACUUAUGCUCGAAUGAGCACUUAAUCCUUCAUACCUAUUCACCACUCAGUCCAGGCUCACUUCGCGCAGAGACCACGCGAAGCAGGCUCUGAUACCAACUGUGACAGCCCCACUUUCCCCUUAGGCGAACCAGAGGGUUCAGCGAACCGCCUGCCCAGCUCUCGCCGGGACUCAGUCGUUCACUCACACAAAUCAGAAAUAGAACCACAAGAAAGAGCAAAACUAGGAUCCAAAACUUACAGCAAAACUUAUAUACAUUGCUAUCUCAGAAAAAAGCAUAACCGCUGAGAAUACAAAAGUUCUCAAGUCACCAUACAACCAGUCCAUGCCAAGCACUAGGGCGAGAACCAAAACAAAACCAAAACUAGACCCAACCAUUCGAUACAGAGCUCUCGCCCCUGCUCGCCUUCCCCUGCUAAGGAAAACAAAACUAAAGGGGUGAGCUAAAAGCUCAGUGAGGCUCCGAACACAUAGGCAACAAGGAGUUCAAAGCAUUCAUUACAUGUUACCAAUAAUUCAAAUACAAAAGAAAGCGAUAAACACAUUCAUUAAAAAGAUAUGUGCUCACAAGGAGCCAUUCGUUCAUUCAUUCUACUUUCGUUCCCUUAUACCUUCAAUCAUUUGAAAAUGCAUUUGUAUAUAAAUAAAACCCUCAUUCAUUCAUUCGUUCAUUCAUUCAUUCACCAGGCUCCACCAACCUCCACCAACCUACAAGGUAAUACUCGAGUAUACCAAAACGUUCACCCAGGUCCCUAAUCGCCCCACCGAGUCCCCUUCUGGCUCGAGACGACCGGUAACAAGGGGCAGUGGCCAGUUCAGCCAAAAGGCUUACAUUCAUGCACAAAUAACAUUUCAAUCAUUCAAUCAUUGAAAAUUUCACAAUCAUUUAGGCCGAGUGCGAUAAAGUACACAUUUGCCUAGAAAACUCGUUUUAAUAAUCAUUGAAAGCAUUUAACAUGUUAUCAAUCAUUCAUACCAGCCAUAAAAUCUUGAAACAUAACAAACAAGGAACACUCACCUAUACACGCAAAAUAACGUCCACUUCUCAAUCACCAAUGAAACCUAAAAGUAAACAAAGAACACAUUACAAUCCAUCUAUCAUGAUUUGGAUGAAAUCAAGGAUUACCCGACUACUCGCGAGUAAACGUAUAAAAUGACUUUUAAAGUGUCAAUAGAGCAUAUGGAUCCGUGGACGGAAAUUACUAGGGUUCAUAAACCAACCCAAAGAGGUAUUAGGUUUUAGAAUGGUAAAAUGAUCAUUUUAUUUGCCAAGCGGAAAUAUACAGGUUCAAAUAGAAAUUUAGCCCUCGGCCACCUUUUGAAAGAGCCGGUAACAUUUUCAGUAAAUACGUCCAAUUCGUCACAAAAUACAUUCGGAAAAUCACUUUAACUUGCUCACAUUACAAGAAGAUAAACGGACGGCAUGUCCCUUGUGUUUACCUAUUUUCCAGCCAUUAAUGGCUUCAUUAUUUUCCUCAAAACAGUCCCAACAUCUCAUAUAGAAUAAUCUCAUGUCCAAAAGCCGUUCACUAGGCUUAAAGUCAUAUAAAUACAAAAAUAAAUACAAAAAUCAAGCUAAAAACAUUUCCGGAUAAAAACAGUUUUUGACACCAUUUUGCGGUUUUGGCACCAUUGGCGCUACGAUUAUCGGAUGAAGGUGCAAGAUACACUGCUUCGAAGCUAACAGAUAGGGCUACAAUGUUGAAGAAGGGCACUCAGUCCAGUUUGUAGUGCAACUAGGUCAAAAUUGACAUAUAUGAAACCAGAAACUCACAAACAGGUUGGCUAACCGCACAAUUGUUAAUCAGCAAUAACUCUGGCUACCGAAGUCCGAUUGAAGUAUAUCCUAUGGUGUUUCGAAGCUAAAACACAACCCUACAUUUCUUAUGAAGACCUCCAAGGCCAAAUCAUGCAUUUUCAUGAUCACAAAUGGAAAACUACACCAAAAUAGAAUUCUGGGCGCGAAACAGGUUUCAUAGACAGCCAAGGGUAUUUCGAUCAUUUCACAUGCUACAGUGGUUGGAUUAAGCUGAAAUUUUUCAUGCAGCUAGUUUAUACUAGUGGCUACAACUUUCAUGUUUUGGCCAAAAGCUAAUUCAGUAGGAAUCAUGGUGAAAAGUCACGGUCCAAUUGGGUGAAAAGACAACCCUGUUCGCUGAACUCCUACCUAGACCAAUCUGGGUAUUUCCGUCUUAUCUCAGGCUACCGAGCUUAGAUUGGGUUGAAUCUUUACAGACAACUAGAAAACAUCAUUCCCUACAACUUUCAUGUUUUGUGCUAAGGUCAAUUCGGCCUCUAACCUGGUCGAACAGAAACAGGCAGAAAGGAAAAAAAAAUGGACCCUAAUCUGGAAAUUCAUGCAUUCAUGUGCCAAUCUUCCACAAAACAACAUCUAAAACAACUAAAAACCACUAAUAAGCAAUUAAUUGAAGUAAAGAGGAAGUUUUUAAGCAAAGUACCUUGACACCUCAAGAAAGAUGAUAACUUAGGGUUUUUCUUUCACAAAUCCCUCCACUAGAAGCUUUAAUCCUCCUUAAUAAGUAACUUUGAUGGAGUAAUCUUCACUUUUAAUGGUUGGAAAUCAAGAUUGGAGCAAGGGAUUGAAGUACAAGAUGAAGGAUUUCCUCUCUUUUCUCUCAAAAUUUCACCCAACAAGGUGAAAAAUGAAGAAACAUUUGGUCAAAAUGGAUGUUUAGUAAAGUUAAGAAAAGUUAGUCAAAGUCCCCAUCCAAUGGUUUCAUGACACUUGUCCCUCUCAUUAAUGUCAUGCCUAACUUUUUUUGUCUUUCUCGCACCUAUCCACUUGAUACCUCUAAAUAUCUCAUAACACCCGGUAAACUAAACCCAGUAUCCAAAACUUAACCGAACUGGCCGAAUUUUUCCGAAUUUUCCACACUAGUGGGUCCCACGUCCGAUAUACGCUCUUAAUUUCUCAAACACUAACCGAUACUAGAAAAAUCAUUUAAAAACUAUAUUUACUCAUAAAAUUGAUCUAGAAAAAUUUUCUAGUAAAGAAAAUGCAGAAAACGUGCAAUUAAGAAAAGUACGGGUCCUCACACUCUCUCCCCCUUCAAGAAAUUUCGUCCUCAAAAUUUUUACCUUCAUUUGCCUCAGACGAGCCCGGAACUGUUUGUGUAACAGCCCCACUUUCCCCUAAGGCGAACCAAAGGGGUUAGCGGACUGCCUGCCCAACUCUCGCCAGGACUACGGAUCAGAUUAGAGCUAUCUGCUUCAUUUCGGAACUUACAAACGCGCGUAAACAAAUCAAAAUAGUAGAAUAACCCAAAAUAAAAUAAAAUGAAAUCCGGAGCCGGCCAUGAAUAGUAACCGACCCGUCAGAACCCAACCGCAAUAGCUAACAAACAUUCACAUCUGAACUUUAGCGUGUACAAAUCAAAAUGACAUACAAAAGCUUUCAAAAGUUAAUACAUAUACACGGUUUGCCAAAUCAAAAGAGAAAACGCCCCAAAAGUACACUUAGUGUUUUAAUACAAUGAGCUAUACAAAAGAUAUGUUUUCAACUAGCUCAAUUUUGGCAGCCAUUUGUCAAAUCCAGACCAAAGGGUUUAUUUUCUGUAAGGAAAAGGCAAAAGGAACGGAAAGGGUGAGCUUUUGCGCUGCAUGAGGUACCAAAACAGAUACAUUAAAAUCGUGCAUUUCACGAAUUUAACAAAUCAGAUACACAUGUCAAGAGUGUAAAGCAAAGGAAGCCAAUUGAUUCACAUCAGAAGGAUAACGGUGGCUCUCAGGAGCCAAAUUUCCAGCGCCAGUACUUGGAUCCAAAUCGGUUGACUCUCCGUGCAACGGUAUAUAGAACGGCAACAGCGUCCGUAGACACCUCUUUACACCCGGAAUUCCGUCCACCAAACACCACCUUUAUCCGGCCCCUCACCUCAAAACGAAAUCAAAAUGGUAUACUCGAGGUAUACCCGGAAUCAAGGGUCUCAUACAAAAUCCCCAGAACAGACUAACCGUGGGUUCGUUAUCUAAUCGUCAGGCCCUUGCCGGCCCGACUCGAAUAACCUUACGGCAACAGGACUUGAGCUCAUAGGUCAUAAGAAAAUCGCGAAAACAGAAUGCAGACACAGGAUAACAAGAUUCAAAUUUUGCAAUAGUAAAAUUGGCAAUGAACAAGACAAGAGAACGAGUGUGAUAAAGUACACCCUCGUCUCAAACAAAUAAACAGAUUGCAGAGCAGAAAUCAAGUUAAACAGCAAUGGAGGGGAGUGGUACACUCACCGGCUCAACUUCAAAAGUUUUCACUUCAGAUUGGCCUUAAUCGCCAAGAAACCCUAAAAUAAUCAAAGUAAACUAAUUGAAGGUUUCAUAUCCAAAAUCGAGUAAACGAAAUGUACAAGGGAUGCUCGACUACACGUCGUACGCCUUGCCAAUUAAAUACUAAUGCAAGGGUGGAAAACAUGAUUUCUUGGAAACAAAAAGGUAACAUGAAGACUUAGGCGCAAACAACCCAAAAGCCUUUCAUUUCCACCAAAAGGCAAUUCCAACUUAAAGGAACCAAACGGCCUAGAAAAUCGGGCAGCACCUCCCCUAAGAUUCUUACUUUUCCAGCCAUUAAGGCUUCAUUAUUUCCUCAAAUCAGUCCCAACAUUUCACACAAAAGUCAUCUCAUUUCCCAAAAGCCGUUCACUAGGAUCAACGGUAGUACAAGUACAAAAGUUAGCUAGGAAAUGAUCGGAAUGAGAGCGAGCCCAAAAACAUGCAAACAAGUACAUGGAGACUCGAUAACGAGUCAUAAAGCUAUGCCAACCACAACCCCAAUAAGGUUUCAUAUGCAUAUAUAAGCAUUAUAGCAAACCAGAAAAUCAGGAAAUGUAGCCAUCUUGGCCAUAACAACAAAAACAGUUUUGCCUUCAUUAUGCGGUAAUGGCACAAAUUGCACUACGCUUAUCGGAUGAGGGUGUAAGACCCACCAUCACAAAGCUAAAUGACAGGGCUACAACAAUGUAGAAGGCCACUCAGUCCAAAUCCUAGAACAACUAGGUCAAAUAUGCAGAAUACCAAACCAGAACCGUAAUUGCAGGUUUACAAAUCACACUAUGCUGUAAUUAGUCCAACUCAGUCUAUACAGGUCCAAAUGCAUUGAUUCCAAAGGCAUAUGGUAGCUAAGACAUCCAGAUACAUUUCAUCAGAAGACACCAACAUCCAAAUCCAAAGCAAUUCCAGUCAAAACAGACGAGUACAAGAGCCGUUCGCACAUUCUGAUCAACCCAGAACAGCAACAGUAAAAUCGACAUAUCUCACUCUACACUACUCCAAAUGACCUGAAAUUUUACAGAAACCUCAAACACAUCAAUACCUACAACUUUCAUGUUUUAAGCAAAGGCCAAUUCGGCAUAUAACCAUAUGAUCCAAAACCGGACAGAAAAGGGGGUUAUGAAACCCUAACUUUUCACAUUUCAAUCCAAACCCAAAAUUGGUUGCAAUUAUCAAUCAUUUACAUCCACUAGAGUCAUAACCCCUCAUUAUCAACCAUCAUAAAUAACCACAACACCAUGAUCACAUUAAACCAGAAAAUUCCUCAAAAAAAUAAAAACUUCACCAAUUCAUCUCAAACCAAGAAAUAAAUCACAAAUUUCAACACUUUAGCCACCACUAGGCACAAAUUAAACAUCAUUAAGUAUAGGAGGAUAGUCAAUCACCACUUACCAAGUAAACAAGAGAUAGGAAGUUGUAGAACACCUUAGCUUCUCCAAAAACCUUCACCAAAACACUCACUAGCACCAAAUGGAGGGAUUUUAUGGAGUAGAAACUAGUUUAGGCAAUUGUUUUUGGAAGAUUGAGCCAAAUGGAAGCUAAAAUGGUGAAGAAUUUCUUUCUUCUUUGCUCAAGGGAGAGCCGGCCAUGGAGGAGUAAGAAAUGAGUGAAUUUUGGUUAAUUUUUAAGAUAUUUAACCAAAUGGGUCAAAAGUCAAAAAACAUGAAUAGUAAGUCAUAAGUCAUAACCAAUGGAAGAGUGACACUUGUCACUUCAUUAAAUGCAAUCUUAUCUUUUCUUUUUCCUCUCACAUCAAUCACUUCACAUCCUCUACUUAUCUCUUAACAUCCGAUAAAUUUCCACCAGUAUCCGGAAUUUAACCUAAUUGGCCGAAUUUUUCCGAACUUUUCACACUAGUGGGUCCCACGUCCAUUAUAUACUCUUAAUUUUUCAAAAACUCUCCAAUACGAGAAAAAUCAUCUAAAAACUAUAAUUACUCAUAAGAUUCACCAGGAAAAUUUUCCUAAGCAAGAAAAUGCAGAAAACAUGCCAUUAAAGGAAAUAAACCCUAGGAAAAUUAUUAAGGGAUUUACGGGUUCUCACAGUUUGGGUGCCUAACGCAUAAGCUUUUGCUGGCCCACUAGUUCGGUUCCCUCUUUCAUUUGCUUGUUUUGUUUUAGCUCCCUCCAGUUGCGGAAUACUACCUCCGCGUGACUGUCUCCUCGGACAGUUGCUAACUUGGUGCUCACCACUCCCACAAAUCAAGCACUUCCGCCCUUUCCGCCAACAAUCGUUCUCGGUAUGAUUGGCCUUUCCGCAAUAGCCACAAGUCAGGUGAGAAGCCAUCUUUUGGCUUUCUUGAGAAAUUUCCUCAGGUCCGAUUUGGCUCCCUUUAGUAGACCUUUCAUUUCCCGCCCCUACCGUCCAGGGCGGGUAGGACAAAAAGUUUGCUUUAUGCAUUUUGGAAGGGACUAUCGAUUCACUUCGUUCCUCACUCAUACUACCAGCUGCACCUCUUUUCCGUGUUUAGGAGGCUUUUACUUGUGCCUUUGCAUUCUCGAUUCGUUGAGCCUUCUCAAGCGCCUCCGUAAAUGUAUUCACUUGCGCUGCUGCCAACGGCUCUUGGAUGUCCAAAUUUAGUCCCUGUAUAAACCGUCUCACUCUUCUCGGUUCUGUGGCUACUAAUUCUGAAGCAAACUUGGAUAGUUUGGUGAAUUUCGUUUCGUAUUCAGCCACACUUAAGGUCCCCUGGCGUAGUCCAAUAAAUUCGUCCUCCCUCCUUUCUUGAACUAAGGGUGGGAGAUAUUUCUCGUUAAAUUCUCUUACAAAAUUCGCCCAUGUCUAGACAGUCUGUUCUCUUUCCCACUUUGUUCUGAUUACGUUCCACCAUGCCCAGGCCGGUCCCUCAAAUUGAAACACUGCGAAGUUCACCUGCCUCUGUUCAGUGUAAUUCAAAGCUGUGAAUAUAUUCACCGUGGCCUCUAGCCAUUGUUCAGCGAUCCCAAAUAGUUAGUCACCAAGCCCAUGAUGCCAAAUCUAGGUAAAUUGGCAAACGCAGGGAUAGGUAUGCCAGCAGGUUAGGUUACAAUAAAGAACACACACUAUAAACAAUAACCAAAAUAAAGCUCAAAACAAAAUUGAGACUCUAUCACACAACAAUACUAUCUUGACUGAUCAAAUUUGCAAAUUUAAACAACAACACUCUCUGGCAAAUGUUAAUUACCGCAAAACCUGAGAUACGUUAUCAGUUAUUAGGAACGCUACAUCCUUUAACAACAUUGCCAGGAGUAUGAGAAUCAUCCUAAAAUCAUUUAGUAUCCUUAAUCAGUAUAUCAAUGUAGAUGCUGGGGAUGCUAGGGACACUGAUACCGAGUCUGAAUUUCUGGCUACCUUUACCAAGAUAUUCAUCACUUCUGGUUUUCAUUCUAUAAUUCAGCAUUUUAGUCAUUUCGUAGUCCAUCAUGGGGAGACUAAUAAACUUCAUGGAGAACCGAAAGACGAUAUCAAAAAAUUUCACAAUCCUGGCAUCAUUCAUCUCUUAUAGAAAUAAAAAUGACGAAGCUUUUGCUUUCCACCAAAAGGCAUAAACUGAUUGUUACCUAAACCAUGAAAAUCUGCAACCUUUAAGUCAGCCUGUGUCUAGUCACAAAACUUAAUUAUUUACACCUCAAAAGGAACUUAAAGAAUUAGGAGUAAAACUAAGCUGCGCUGUCACACUUGCACCAAGACAUCCACAACCUCCAAGUAACUCAAUGAAUCAAACUUACACAAACCCCAACAAACACAUAAAAUACCAGAGCAAAACAUUCGCAAGCAACAAGAAAUAAGCAACUAAAACCAAAAGCUGAAAACUAUGUAGACCAUAUAACUCACUCUGACAUAACAAUUCAUGCAGAAAACAGAUUCCUCACAUAAGUAUCCCAGUUAGUAAUUUCCCAACGCAAGAGCAAAAUCCAGAUGCUCCCCGUGAAAUCUAAGAUAUUUAACACUUACUCCACUUCAGUUGCAACUUAAGCAACGAAACAUAUUUAAGUAUCUUACAAAUUCCCAGAUUUAUGUCUAACCCGAGAGUAGUUUCAAAUUAGGGCACCAAUAGCGAUUAAACGCAUUAAUCUAAGCAAAUAAAACAUAGAUACUUCAGAGCAGGAAUGAGCCAUUAAUGAUAAUAAUGAGAGGGAAAAGAGAAAGAGAGAUGGAAAUGCUUACAUGAUCAUGGCCAUGGAUAUCUGUUUGAAAUCAUGUUUUUCUUUUUGUGGGAAAUGGAGAAGAAUUGCCCAAAAAAUUUCUAAAAUUUAAGCGAGAAUCAAGGAAACUUUAGCUUUGCAGUUGAUCGGAGAAGGAGAGAAGAGGGGAUUGACAACUUCUUUUUAGAGGAGAGGGUAUAAGUGGGCUGGAGUUGCGGCGUGGAGGGAUAUGAGAGAAUUUUUUGUUGGAAUUCUGCCUAGCUGCGGCUGCGGCUGCGGUUUAGAGUUGAAAGGAAACAAAGGAAAAAGGAGGAGGAAGAAAUGGAGAGUGGGAGAAAAAGAAAGAAACACGUGUCCAACUCCAUAAAUCUGAUGGCCUUUAAAAAUCACGAGCAACUCACGAGGGCCGACGAAAACCAAAAAGUACUUCAGAGUUAAAGAGCUCUUCGGCUCUUAUUCUGUAUAUGUUGAUAGAUUCUGUUCAAGAUGCAUGGUAGAGGGAAACCAUUUAGGCUUGGUCUUGUGCAAAAAGUUCUUGAAAGGUAAAUGGAACUUCCAAAAAGCUGGAUUUCCUUCUUCCACUAAAAGGAACCCUUCAUCCCAAGUUCCGCGACCGGUUUGUUACUCAUCAGAGAUGUGUAAGGAAUCAACGAUGACUCUUUCAUACUCGUUCGACUCGACCUGAGUCGACUCAGAGAUUCAAAAAAAUCGCCCGCAACCAUCUGAGUCAACCCGCCUCAACUUGGAUCCAAGGAUGCAACAAACUCUCCGGUAUUCUAAAAUCCAAGAAGAGGCAACGAUCAUCAGAAAAUAACAUGUCAAAAACAUUGAAAAUCCAUGGACAGCAAUCAAGAAAAAUACAAUAAUAGAGAUAUAAGGAAAAAAAAUAAAAGGCAUGAGAUGGGUAAAUAAGGAAACCAGGGAGAGGAAAGCGGCGAGGAAAAAGAAACCAAGAAAGUUUGGACAUGAGAAAAAGGGUUCUGGUUAUGGCAAUCAACCCAGAUUUAAAAUAGACGGGAUUGUAACAAGAUUGUAAUAUUAAAAUAAAAGUUAUAAUGAAGACUUACUUGUAUAUAGCAGAAUAUUGUAUAUAGCAUAAUAUUGUUGAAGAUAUCUCGAAACUUGAUAAAACUUCUCAAGAGAUUCUUGUUUAAAGAAAUUUUUACAAGAGAGGUUUUGAGGGUUCUAACAGUACUAGCAUCACACACACCCUUUACAAUACAUAAGCAUGUAUAUUUAUGGUAGGCUAGUGUAACUAUAUUUGAAAUUUCAUUUACAUUUCAUGUUUAUGUUGAUAUUAUUUGAAUAUAUAUUUUAUCAUCAUGCUGACACUUCUUAUAUGUCACAUUUUAUUAUGACCGACAAUUUUUGAAUUAUUGUUGCAUCUUUUAUAUUUAAUUUGGAUCUUGUGCACAUGAGCCACCAAAUGGAUCUUACAUCAUAAUAGAUUUUGAAGAUUUUGCAAUCUCCUUUAACUUCUCUUGUUUGCUUUUGAGAUGGUCCAUAUACUGUUUGAGUAUGUCUGAAUCUUCUAUAAUUUUUGCAAAAAAAAAGUCAUGAGUGGAUCUUGAUAAUCCAUUUUCUUUUAUUUUUUUCAUCUCUUUCCUUCUUCUUUUGAAUCUCCUUGGAUAUUGAAUGUAUUUGCCAUUGGAGUUUUUGUCCCGUUUGAAGAAAUCUUUUAACAUUUUCUUGCAAAAAAUAGUCCAUAGUAAAGCCUGUCCACCAUUUGAUUUUGUAUUGUCUAAUCAAUGACAUUGGGAAUGGUUUUGGAAGUUGCUAUAUAAUCUUGUAACUUCAACAAAAAAUCCAUAGAACUUUGAACUCAAAAUGAAAUAAUAUUAGUUUUGUAUAUUCUUCUCCUGGUGCUUUUCUUUGAUAUAAUUGGAAUUCCAUUUUUGCUUUGGGGGGAAAACUCUUGAGUUGCAGACCAAAAAAAUUCUACCAAUGGUAAAAUCAAAUUGGAAAUUUUCGAUCACAAUUGACAUGAAAUGUAAAGAACCAUGAAUGAUUGAAGAAACGAAAGAGAGAGGCUCUACACCAGGCCAUUCUGUAAUCCUGGUAUGUGUAGCCAUCUAAAAUGUGUCUGAUUGAAAAGGUUUUCUUUGAUUAGAGAGAUACCCAUUCAUCUAGUCAGCACACCUUUUUAAUUACACAUUUGGAAUGAGAAAUUUUAUUUGGAUCUUUUCUGUCUGGAACUGAAGAAAUUUCGACGGAAUUUGUGUCCAAUAAAAUCAAUUCAUAAGAUUUGAUAGUCUUCGAUACACCAUUGGCAUCCUUCUGGAAAUAUUCUAUUAGUAAGGGCUAAUAAGAACUAUAGGGUGGAGGUUCUUUGAAUUUGGUGAGAGUAAUCUGUUGAGUAAUUGGUUUAGUGAAGUAAGAGUUUGAAUUUUCUGGGAUUUUUUCUUCGGUGUUUUUCUUAGAGGAUGGUGGUGGAGUUUGAGUGGUUUGAGCAUAUGAUAAUGGAUGAAAAUAUGAAAGAACUUGAAAUGUAUUUGAAGUAGAGAUCUAAGUAGUUUUCAUCUCAUAAUCUUUGACUAACAAAACUUUUGAAAAGUUUCCUUUGCUCAUUUUUCUACAGGAUGUCAACAAAUAAUGUUAUGCAUCUCUCGUAAUUCUUGUUUUAUCCAUUUCUUGUAACGGGAAGCCUUUUUUCUGCGUUGAGUAAGGAAAUGAUGCAUUAUCUGAAACCUUUGAAUAUUCCUUCUUUUCAAAAAACAUUUGUCUCGAAUAGUAGUAAUUGCUCUGGAGGAUUUAAGAGAUAUCUAGUCAUAUUUGAAAAUGUGUUAUGGUUGGAUUCUCUGACUCUCUCCAUUUGGCUUUAUAAUAUAAUGGAUCGUUUUCCGAUUUUGAUAAAGGAUUUCUUUUUGCGCAUUGGCUCAGGAAUAAUAUUGUCUUCUAAUAUGCUUUAUAGAAUCAUUUUGUUUAUCCAUGACUCUGUAGAAAUUCUCUAGUUAAAAAAUUAGGUAAAGAAUUAUCUUCCCCUUUUAUGAAUUCUGUUUCGAAAUAAAAAACUGAUUAUAUACCUUGCCACUGAGUAAAUAUUUGUUUUGAAACUAUAUUUUCAACAUCUUUUUGUAAACUUCUUUUGCUGAUUUACAAUCAAUUCUCAGAAGGAACUUUUUAUUAUAUAAAUCAUCUUGAAAUUUUGAAAUGCAAAGAAACUAUAGACAAAAUUUCCUUUUUAAUAGUGGAGUAAUUCUUUUGAGGAUCAUACUAUGCUUCUGAAUGAUAUCUAACUAGUUGCUCUGAUUGAUUUUCUAAUUUUUACUUUAGUAUUCCUCCAUAUCCUAAGUUAGAUGCGCCUGUUGCUACUAUCAUAAAUGUAUGAGGGUAAGGAAUACCUAGGCAUGAUAAUGACUUAAGUUUUUCUUUAAAAUAAUUAAUCAUUUUAGUAUGUUCAUCCGUCCAUGCUAUGGAUUCGUUUUGAGUCUCAUAAAUAAUAUUGAAGAGUUUUUUCUUAAAAUUGUAAAGAAAUAUGCUAUAUAAUCAAACAUUCUAGAAAUCUUUGUAAUUGAUAAUUUCUUGUUCAUCUCUUUGUAAUUGAUAAUCUUUGUAAUUGAUAAUUUCUCGAGUUUUCUGGACUUGACAGCAGGUCCUGAUCAUGCUACACCAAUUUAAUUCAUAACAUGCUGGAAAAUUGCCCAUUCAACUACUUUUCGCUCCACUUAUCUACAAUUAACAUCAAUUAUCAAAUAUAAGUAAAAUCUACCUAAUAAUGCAAUAUUUGGCAAAUAUCAAAGGAAAAUAUUCACAAAUUUAAUAACAAUUAUGCAUCCUAUCAUCCACUUUUUUGCUUGAUCGAGUUUCUAUAAUGUACUCUUGCUUCAAGAACAGUAUCUUUUGGCCUGCAUAAAACUACCCAUUUGGCAAAUGAAUUUUUUGGAUAUUUGUCUAAAAUUUUACUGUAAUUUACUAUAGAAGCUAUAGGAAAAAUUUUUCAAAUGGAAAGCUUUUUUUUUUUUUCUUUUUUCUUUCUUUUUUUUUUCUUUUCUCUCUUCUUCUUCUCCCUUCCCCUCCCUCCCAGCUGGAACAAGCAGUAGCAGAAACCCUUUUUUUUUUUUGUAUUUUUUCUCUCCUCUCUCCUCCCCUUCCCUCCCCUCCCCCUCUACCUAAUCCGGUCAUGCGACCAGGUCGGCCAGAGAGGGAGAGGGAAAGGGACGAUGGCGGGGAAGGGCGAGGGGGAAAGAGAGGUUGUGAGGGAGAGGGGAAGAGAGGGAAGAAGGAGAGGGAGGGAGGAGGAGAAGGAGAGGGAGAAGAGAAAGGAACAAAAAAAAGGAGGUGGGCGGCAUGGGAACUGGUGCUGUUAGAGGUAGCCGGUGGUAGAGGUGGUGGUGGGUUGAGGUGGAAGAAGAAAGGAUAAAGGGAAAUUGUUUUGCGUGUUUUGGGUAUUUUAAAGUGUAUAAUUUAUAAAUUUUGAAAAGUUUUUUAUUUUACUAUAGUUAAAAUUAUUAAAAAAAAUUUGUAGAAGACAAACUUGGUCAAAAACUCUUUUGCCAAACAAACCCUAUACCCGAUCCAGACUUGACCCCUUAUAGCCUUGACAUCCCGAUCUAGACUUGAACCCCUAUGGCCCUCAAAUCCAUGCUUGGUAGGAAUUUUUUAUUUGAUAUUUUAUUAAGUUGUGUAUACUUGUAUUAAUGCCAAAAGUUUCGGUAGGUAUUGAUCCUAUUUUUAAAAAAUAAAUUAUUAACUUUCAUUAAAUUUUUUACCUUUUGGAUUUUUUUAUUUUCUAAAAAAUAAUAUUAUUAAUUUUUGAGUUUGAACAAUAUAUCUUUUUCUAUCUCUUAAAAAAUAAUAUAUUGUUAUUUUCUGAAAAAUAAUUAUAUAAUUAUUAAACAAAUAUGUGAUACGUUAAAUGUGAAAAUAUCUUUUUUUUUAAACUUACUUUAUUAAUUCAAUACGAAACAACCGAUUACAAGAUUUGCCAAAAAAACUCCCGACAAACGGUGACAAAUAAUUCUUUAUGUAAUUAAUUGAACUCCAUAACAUAAUAUUACAUAAUUUAAAUCAAAUAAAAUACAAAUAAUAACAUAAUGAAUACUAAUUUUCAUUGUUAUUGCCUUUGAACCGUUCACAAAAUAUUGAAAUUUUAGAAAAUUGUACAAAGAGAUUGAAGAAAAUGAGUGAGAGAGAGAGAGAGAGAGGGAGAAAUAAUAGAGUAAGAUAGUGAGAUAUAUAAAAAAAAAAAGGUGUCUUAUGUGUUUAUAUAGAGAGAACCAAAAAAUGACCGUUGAAAAAAAAAAAUUGAACGUUGACUUUCAUCAUGAAUUUUAGCCAUUGUCCACGUUUAACCAAAUUUAUCUGUUGUUAAAAAAGAAUCCACUAUCUCCUUUUUUCAAUAGCAUUUAUACGUAUCAUUCUUAUGAUGCGUGUAAUGAAUAUUACACGGCCAUGCCACUGGAGUUGCUUUAAUGAGUUUGGUAUAAUAGUGAUUAACUAAUUUUUAGUAGGGAAUCAAUGUUUACUCACCCAUAUUACUCAUAUUUUUUUAAUUAAAAAUAAAGCAAGUUACAAAAUACUAGAAGAAAUUAAUAAAUUAAAGAAAAUUUAGAAGAAAAAGAAGUAGAAAAAAAAUGUAAAAACUAAUGCCUAAAAUUUCGUUACCAAACACUCAUGGUUUUCAACAAAAACCCAUUAUCAUUAAACAGUUAAUGAUAGCGAUAGUCAUUGAUGAACUUCUACAAACGACUCCUCAGAUCUCAUCCAAAAACACAAAAAAGGUUAAAAAAACUAGAAAUGUUAAUAACGGGAAAAAACUUGAAGAGUUUUGGAGAAUAUGAAAACUAACUAUUGGCAACAAACCGUAGAAGAUCAGACAGAAGUAAUUGAAAAAGCUAAGAAGACGGCAGCUUAAACAUAUUAUUUAAAUCUUUUUCGUCAAGAACUCCUGCAUGUGGAACAAAAUCAGCAUUCAGCACCAACCAGAAGAUGCCUUUACCCACAACAAUUAUCAUAUUACAGACCACGCGCUGUAAGGUUGUAUAAAGAGCAUGUUUCAAUGCAGCGGACCAUUUAAAAGAUGGCAGAAAUUCAUCUAUCCUGUACUAGUGGUAAAAACAUCUCUAAAAUCAACUUUUAGAAUGGUGCACAAGACCAAGACGCUAGGGAUUUAUGGAAUAAACAACAAGAUCACACAAUGCCAUAUGCAGCAUGUAGUAAUCUAAGGCUAACCGUUGUUGCACAACAGAUUCUGGAAGUGUUUCAUACCAAGCAUUUUUAACGUAAAAAUAUAUACAAAGCUCUGUAAUACAAUUUGUUUACGUCGAUCCUAAUCUUACUGAAGAAGCAAAUAGGAAAUCUACUUGCCACGAGCGUACAUUCAGAGCUAAUCAAAUGUCCUUGCAGACCAACUAAAUCCAUUAUCCUAACCUCAAAUAACAGGAAUCCUAUAAAUAAUCAAAUGUCCUUGCAGACCAACUAAAUCCAUUAUCCUAACCUCAAAUAA
This 57006-nucleotide long non-coding RNA is filed under the name Coffea arabica (coffee). Its description in RNAcentral is "long non-coding RNA (CARA_LNC004214)". The record is from RNAcentral. Lineage: Eukaryota; Viridiplantae; Streptophyta; Magnoliopsida; Gentianales; Rubiaceae.